UCUCUUCAUUUACAUAUAUUUUUUGCCCGGUUUUGGUCAUAGCAUCGUGAGAAGUUGUAUAUUGGAGCCAUUUGAUGUAACCAUUCUUUUUUCUUUCUACAGAAGAUGAAACGAAAAUGUUGGAGCUAUACAACGUUGUAUUGGACAGUAAACAGAAUAGCCUCCAAGAAUCAUUUCCUCCCAUCUUAUAUUUUGUCGCUAUGGGUUGGGGGUGGAUAUGUAAAAGCUGUUAUUCGGCGAUUGUUGAACGGUUGUACCAAAGGCAUUUUUCUUUUCUUUCUGAACUCCAUGUGUUUACUUUUAUUUUUCAUGUUAACAGAAGCAUAGAAGGAUCCUUGAGUAGUAUCACCUAUGUUCUGAAUUAUAAGACGUUUUGGAUAUUUCAAUACAGAUUGAAAUGAGUGAACAAGCACACUAAAUGCAACUAUAUAAAUACGAUUUAGAAGAAAAAUUAGAACACCUUAUAAUUUUUAACAGAGGGUACAAAUUAUAAGUGAAUUGAACUGUAGCCUCACAUGGUGUUUGGAAUUAUAAGAUGUUUUGGAUAUUUUAAUAUGGAUUGAAACUAUCGAACAAGCACACUAAACGCAACUAUAUGCAUACAGCUUAGAAGAAAAAAUAGAACAUCUUAUAAUUUUUUAACAGAGGGAGUACAAAUUAUAAGUGAAUUGAACUGUGGCCUCAAAUGGUAUUAUUCACUUCUGUGCCAUCUAACAUCGAAAAGGCAGCAACAUAUUUUAUUAAGAGAAUUUGACUUCCAAAAGUCAGUUCAAACAAAAUUUGACCAACCUAAGAAUUUCAGUGUUCUACAGGAAAAACACACAUAAAUAACCUGCUCUGACAAAUUGAUUACUGAGUUGCAUAUUAGGUAUUCACUGGCGUCUAAUGCAGCGCCUCAUGGCAAACAGAAGAAGCGACGCAGGCAUGCUGGACUACUACUUGUUGUGGGUAGGCACACUAAGAUAGAACUUUGUGUUCCUGAAAUCAUCAAGAAGUGGAUUGUAUCCAUCUUUGGUCCUCGUCUUCAGUGGCAGCCCAAACUCCUCCAUGAAGGCAGCCGAAUCAAGCUGGAUGAAAAACGUCAAAUAGCAACUUACUCUUCAGUACUGAAGUUGAACAAAGAUAUUAACUAAAUUCGGAUUCGGCACAAAGUGAGCUGUGCCGCAAAGGGAGGAAAUUGGUAUGUGCAAGCUGAACUUACUAUGAUUGUUCUCCUGCUCUUCACUGGUUUAAAUGCACCACGGUUCAUCUGGUCCUUCAAGAAACCAGAGCAGUGGUGGUCGAUCUGCUCCAACAGCAAGAAAUCGGUUGGGAAGAAGAUAUCUGCAUCGCCCUGAAAGAGUGGGAGGUGCCAUAACCAAGUUUACUGAUAUACGGCGCAGAAGUUGUAUUAAAAAGACGCACCAAACUACACCAGGGCUUGUUUUCUACUCCCUCCGUCCCAUAAUAUAAGAUUGUUUUUCACACUAGUGUAGUGCCAAAAAACGAUCUUACAUUAUGGGAUGGAGGGAGUAUUUCUUAUUCUUGGUUCUCUUUUCAAGACGAUUUACACGACUACUCCAGUAAGAGGAAUAGAUUGUCUGCCUACGACAUAACAGCUCAUAAUUGAACGUGUGAAUAACAAACCUGUGCAUCAAGAUAGUUGGGAUGAUCCAAGGUUUUCCCAUCCUUCUACAAGAAGGAAGAUGAAUGAGACAUUUGGAAGUGGGCACUUGAUCUUACAUCUAAAUAUGCUGGUAAUUGCAUGAUCAACACAUGACUCGAAAACAUGGUUUUCUACCAUUCUCAGUUGAUAUCAUUGACACUGGUUACAGCCUUAUUGGAGCAAUGCACCAAACAGCCAUAAAACUGAAAUAAUAAACCAAUCAGGGCAUGUCACCUUUGAAGAAACCAAUGGAGCUCUAUCGCCAGGUAUGCUAACAUCAGGAAGAUAACUGAAGUCUGAAGCAAUAAGGGACAUACUUGGCAAAGCUUGAUGCAAGGUAUCCAGUAGUUUCUGCAUAAGGUAAAAAACUCUGGAUGUAAGCUGGCACAUACACUGGCAUCCAACAUUAACGGGACAACAGUAGUUUAUAAUCUUACUAAGUAGCAGAGGGGUCUGAAGUACAUACCAAACAUCCGGUUGGUAACCAAGCUCUCCGAGGCUUCGGGAAUACUUUUGAGACGAGUCCUUUUGCAGCGAAUGAUAGUUUUUCUCUCAACGAUGGAUUCUCUUCAUUCAUGCCAACAAUCUCACUGCAGCGGGAAACUAAUGGGUCUUGCAAUGGUUUGUAGACCUCACAGACUUGUGAACUUUCUUAAGAAAAAGGCAAGAAAAAUUGAUUAGUAUAAGAGAUAAAGAGAUAAAGUAGCUACUAGCUAGAUAAUUUCAAUAAUAGUGAAAAGAGGUCUGUUCUCAAUUACUCAAUACAGAGUAAACAUGCAUGUAAUAUUAAUUAGAACAAUAGCUAUAGCCAGAAGCACAAGGAAGAUGCUGAAUUAUUGAUGUUCUUGAAGAAAAAAGGAGGCAGCCCUCCACAAUAACAUCAACCAAAAUAAGGAACUAUACAACCUGAAUCAAGUAAAAAAAAGCACCAUGGGCCCAUGGCACGAGAAAAUGUAAAAGAAUACUAUAAUAUUAUUUCGCAAAGAAAUUUCCCUCUCCGCCUAUGUUGUCUCAGCGUAGCCGGUCCCAAGCCCGGGUAAAGGAGGAGGAUUGAGAUAUGCUUGGCGAGCCAACAUCAAAACUCGGCCACUCUUUUGGAAAUGAAACCCAGAAGAACAUUGUUGGGGCGUAACCCUCUUAGCGACGCGCCAUACCGGAACCCGGUUGUGGUGCUAAACAGGCAAGGGCCGGGCCGUCACCCCCUUGGUGGCAUGCCGUAUCUUGAUCUGGAUACGGUGAUAAGUGAGCAAGGAUCUGGUCGUCGCAUUGUUAGUGACGCGCUACGUCGGCGCCCGGGUGUAGUAAAAAAUGAGCAAAGGGCAAGGAAGCUAGCCGAGCCUAGGAGGAUCCGCAUGUAGUUGGAACGUAGGGUCCCUGACGGGUAAGUUAUGGGAGUUGUAAUGCAGCGGUGAGGAGAGGUGUUGAUAUCCUUUGCGUCCAAGAAACCAAAUGGAAGGGACAGAAGGUGAGGUGGAGGAUACCGGCUUCAAGCUAUGGUACACGGGGACAACUACCAAUAAUAAUGGAGUAGGCAUCUUGAUCAACAAGAGCCUUAGGUGUGGAGUGGCAGAUGUCAAGAGGCAAGGGGACCGGAUUAUCCUGGUCAAGCUGGUUGUUGGGGACUUGGUCCUCAAUGUUGUCAGCGCGUAUGCCCCGCAAGUAGGCCACAAUGAGAGCACCAAGAGGGAGUUCUGAGAAGGCCUGGAGGACAUGGUUGGGAGUGUACGCAUUGGCGAGAAGCUCUUCAAUGGAGGAGACCUCAAUGGCGACGUGGGUACAUCCAACACAGAUUUUGAAGAGGUGGAUGGGGCUUUGGCUAUGGCAUCAGGAAUCACGGAGAGGAUGUCUCCAGCUUUGCCCUAGCCUACGACAUGAUCAUAGCUAUCACCCUCUUUAUAAAGAGAGAAUCCCAUCUAGUGACUUUUAGUAGUGGCCAACACUCUAGCCAGAUUGAUUUCGUCCUCUCGAGAAGAGAAGACAGACGUGCUUGCCUAAGAUGAUACCUGAAGAGAGUGUUGUCCCUCAACAUAAGCUUGUGGUAGCCGACUUCCGCUUUUGAAUUCAUGCCAGCUGGAUAACCAAGCCAAAGUUGCUAGAACAACGUGGUGGAAGCUCAAGGGGAAGGCAGCUCAGGCUUCCAAGGAGAGGAUUAUUAAGGAAGACUUUUGGGAGGAAGGAGGUGACGCAAACAAUAUGUGGAUAAAGAUGACGACUUGUGUCCCGAAGGUGGCUUCAUAGGAGUUUGGAGUGACUAGGGGAAGUAGAAGCGAAGCAAAAGAUACCCGAUGAUGGAACAAUGAUGUCCAGAAGGCUGUUAAGGAGAAGAAAGAAUGUUUCAGACACCUACACUUGGAUAGGUGUGCAAAAAAUAUAGAGAAGUACAGGGUGGCAAGGAAGAAGGCAAAGUGAGCCGUGAGUGAAGCAAGGGGUCGGGCGUAUGAGGACCUCUACCGGUGUUUAAGCACGAAGGAAGGCGAAAAGGACAUCUAUAAGAUGGCCAAGAUCCAAGAGAGGAAGACGAAGGAUGUCGACCAAGUCAAGUGCAUCAAGGACAAAGCAAAUCGGCUCCUGGUAAAGGACGAGGAGAUCAAGCGUAGAUGGCAAGAGUAUUUCGACAAGUUGUUCAAUGGGGAGAAUGAGAACCCUACCAUUGAGCUGGACGACUCCUUUGAUGAUGCCAACAGAUGUUUUGUGUGGCAAAUCCAGGAGCCCGAGGUCAUGUAGGCUUUAAAAAGGAUGAAAGGAGGCAAGGCGAGGGGCCCUACCUGUAUCCCUAUUGAGGUGCGGAGAGCCUUGGAGACAUAGCGAUAGUAUGGCUAACUAAGCUUUUCAACCUCAUUUUUCAAUCAAACAAGAUGCCCGAAGAAUGGAGGCGGAGUAUAUUAGUAACAAUCUUCAAGAACAAGGGGGGUGUUCAAAGUUGUACUGGCUACCAUGGAAUUAAGCUGAUGAGCCAUACAAUGAAGCUAUGGGAGAGAGUCAUUGAGCACCGUUUAAGAAGGAUGACAAGCAUGACCAAAAAUCAGUUUUGCUUGGGAGGUCGAGCAUUGAAGCCAUUUCUAGGUACGACAACUUAUGGAGAGAUACAGAGAGGAAAAGACCUGCAUAUGGUGUUCAUUGACUUGGAGAAGGCCUAUGAUAAGAUACCGCAGAAUGUCAUGUGGUGGGCCCUGGAGAAACACAAAGUCCCAACAAAGUACAUUACCCUCAUCAAGGACAUGUACGACAAUGUUGUAACAAGUGUUCGAACAAGUGAUGGCGACAAUGAUGACUUUCCAAUUAAAAUAGGACUUCACCAAGGGUCAGCUUUGAGCCCUUAUCUUUUUGCUUUGGUGAUGGAUGAGGUCACAAGAGAUACACAAGAUAUCCCAUGGUGUACUCUUUGUCGAUGAUGUGGUGCUAGUCGAUGAUAUAGCCAGGCGAAGGUUAAUAGAAAGCUGGAGCUGCGAAGACAAACUUUAGAACCGAAAGGUUUUAGGCUUAGUAGAACUAAGACUGAGUACAUGAGGUGUGGUUUCAGUACUACCAGACGUGAGGGUGAGAAGGAAGCCUUGAUGGGCAGGUGGUACCUCAAAAGGACACCUUUCAGUAUUUGGGGUCGAUGCUGCAGAAGGAUGUGAUAUUAAUGAAGAUGUGACUCAUCGAAUCAAAGCAGCUGGAUGAAGUGGCGCAAGCUUCUGGCAUUCUCUGUGAUAAGAGUCCCAGAAAGCUAAAAGGCAGGUUCUAUAGGACGGCGAUUCGACCUGCGAUGUUGUAUGUCGCUGAAUGUUGGCCAACUAAAAGGUGACAUGCCCAACAGCUAGGUGUAGCAGAGAUGCGCAUGUUGAGAUGGAUGUGUAGCCACACAAGAAAGGAGCGGCUCCGGAAUGAUGAUAUACGUGAGAGAGUUGCGGUGCCACCGAUUGAAGAGAAGCUUGUCCAACAUCGUCUGAGAUGGUUUGGGCAUGUUCAGCAUAGGCCUCCAAAAGUGGCAGUGCAUAGCAGGCGGUUAAGGCGCGCUGAUAAUGCCAAGAGAGGUCGAGGUAGACCAAACUUGACAUGGGGGAGUCCGUAAAGAGAGACCUGAAGGACUGGAAUAUCACCAAAGAUUUAGCCAUGGACAGGGGUGCGUGGAAGUUAGCUAUGCACAUGCCAAAACCAUGACUUGGUUUCGAUAUCUUAUGAGUUUCAACUCUAGCCUACUCCAACUCGUUUGGGACAGAAAGGCAUAAUUGUUGUUGUUGUUGUUGUUAUUGAGAAUGAAACACAUAUUAGCAUAAAACUAUAUUUCCACCAGCAUGAAUAACAAAUAGUAUUGGAGCCAAGCAAUAAGUAGCAAAUCCAAUCCUUCAAGCUAAUGUGGAACAUUAAGGAAUCCUUUAAAAUAUGAAAACCAGUAGGGACCAUAAGUUGAUUCUUUUAUCAUGUUUUCUCAAGUCAAGGAUCCCACUGAACUAUCAUCCCACAUAAACAGUGAAUCUAAGAGCAAAAAAAAAGGAUACUUGAGAUCGUGUUUGCCAGGUCUAGGAAUCCACAUUAUUGACGCACUCUUUGUCGGAGUAAUGGGCCACGGGUAGCGUAACCCGAGUCCCUGAGCCUUUCAAGACUUUGGGCCGGCUUCGCCCCACGAGACUCCAGAAUGAAGCGCCACCUUCCGGUGUCCGACUGGCUCAACGGCCGGCUGCCCGAAGACUGCCGAGCACCAGCAGACGGCACCAAGACGGGUCGACUCCUAGCAGACGGCCUCCGUAGAGGCCGGCUUCUAGCAGGCGGCCACCCGGCGCCCUCAGAGUCUGCGCCCCUCAUCAAGAGGACAAGACAGGGUGAGGCUACAGUGUAGUCCCUCACCCCGAAUCCCGGGUUUGGCAUGGCCACAGUGUCCUGUACAGGCGGAGAUCUCCGCAUGACGCGGCACUGUUGCCACUCCACCUUCGACGCCACCCCUGUCAGGCGGGGCCUGCUCCCAUGACAGCUUGUCGGUACGGCUCGCAGGCGGCGGCCCUACCAGGCAGCGAGGGCCCGGAGGGCGGCCGAGCCUGGCCAGUCGGAUGCAAGGGGAUCCGGCUCCUGGCGGGCAGCCGGAUCCUUCCUCGAGACCUGAGCGCCAUUAACCAGACUAGACACGGCAAGGCUACAGUGAUCACCCACCAGGCGGCGGGACUGUAGCCAUGCCUUGCCCAACCAAGCCUGCGUCAUUAGCAUCACGGCUACAGUGAUCAGCCACCAACCAGACCCGCCAGCGGCGGAAGCGGCCUGUCGGCUCCGUACCAGACCAGUUUGAGGGGCCCACCAGGCGGCGGGCCCCAGCUGCCGACGGAGAAGCCGGCGGCCAGAGACGCUGACGGCCGGGUCCUACACCCGGCCAAGUUACCAUUGUACCCCUGGGGGGUAGGCCUAUAUAAACCCCCCAGGGCACCCAUGCAAAGGGUUCCAAACCUGUUAGAACUAGACUCACACCUAGAGGAAGAAGAGAGCUAGCCCUGCCUCCUUCCACCUCUAGCAUACAGCUCGAGGAGCACCAUUGUACUCACUAGUGCCUUAGUGAUCAUGCGGAGACCCCGCAAAGCAGGACUAGGGGUGUUAUCUCCUAGGAGAGCCCCGAACCUGGGUAAAGUGCGUGGGCGUUCGUGUCUACGCCUCAUCCCGCUUCCAGGCACCGGUGACGUUCUACUCGCUCCCACCAUGAUAAGCCAUCCUUUGGCAUAUGUUGCACCCAACCCCCGACACUCUUCAAAUAUAACACAGAGCAAAGGUUCUAGCUAAUUUGCUAAGGAGUUCGGAAUUUGAAAAACAAAAUUACAAACCUGCCAUUUACUUUUUCAAUCCACACCUCCAUCCAUGCAGAGACCUGAUCUGGUGAAUAGACAAGGUCAUGAGGUAGAUUGUCAAGUACCUGACAUUCCACCAAAAGAAAGUUAUUGCUGCAUGAACAUCUCCCUUAAGAUACGAUUGCAAAACUAAAAUUUAUAUAUUAUGAGUAAAUUAGUUCCUUCAGAACCAAGACAUAUUAGCAAUGCAAAUAAUAUAGCAGACGGAAUUAUUAUCAGCCAGCAGUACCAGCAUGGCAAUAAUACGAUGGCAUGCCUGACAUGGCUGGUGACCCUAUUUUGGACUGUUAAACAUGAAAAUAGUAACAUAACCGGAACAGGGAAAGCAUCAGCGCUCUUUUGCAAUAUCAAGUCCAAACAGAGAUACUAGUGAUGGCACAAGAACUGGGAAGUAGUCUUACAAACAUCUUACAUUGUCAAAGUCAAGAAGUUUGACACAAAAAAAUAUGCUUCUAGCCAAUGUGAACCAAUUGCUGGUACACUUCAUGACAACGGUGAUGGCGUUUUGUUUCUUUGACAGGGCAAAUCCUAGCAGUACAUACCUCAAGCAUUAGCACCCAGCAUGGUUGAGGAUCCUUGCUGCCUGCAAACGGAAAUAGGAAAAACCAAUCAUUUCAAAGGUAAUAGUAAAUAGUAAAUACUGAGACCCUGAGACUGAAUGCUGGAUAAAUAUGUGAUUUUGGAAUGGGGAUAUAAGUAGAGAGGGAUCCAGUGUCAUCCCCAACUAUUUUAUUACAUCUGUCAGCACAGCAUAGAAGUUAGUCUAGGGACUUAUAUAUAGUAUAAUAUGAGCUAUUGCAGGUUGAAAACAAUGCAAAAUGGUGAUCAAAGCUCAGGUAACUGAUCUUAGACAAGGGUUAUUGUAGGAAAGAUCCGACAUCGAUAGCUAGGCACAAGAAGCCAAGCUUACCCCAUCCAGCUAUGUCAGUUGCAUCACGAUGCUCCACUGUGAACUUUGACAAAUGGCUCUGAACUUCACCGACAGUUUCCAACUGCUUUUCAGCAAGGGAGGAGCUAAUCUCUACUGAGCUAGCAAAUGAAGAUGAAAGGAAGGUCAAAGCAUAACUGAUAACAUAAAAGAAAAAUGAUGGAAAGGGUGAGAAUAUAAGGCAGCAUGAAAGUAACCAUAUUAUGAAUGUUGAUAUGACGAUACAUGUAAGUACCACUUUGUUUGGCCUUACCAAACAAAUAGGACUCUGUAGUCUAGCUGAGCAACUUCAAUUAAGUAGGACAAGGAAAAUGACAAAAGAGCUGCUUACAUGUACUUCAUAUUAUUGUAGACUUUUGGCGGAGCAUUUAACAUCAUGUAAUCAAGUACGCACUUUGCACAUGUCCCGGAUCCACCUCCGAUUUCAAAUAUCUGAUCAUUACAGGAAUCCAAUUCAGAUGGCUUGGUAAGAAAAGAAGGAAACAUGAUAAUGUGUCAUGAUAUGACAAAAUUCACAAGUGAAUCUAGAAGCAUCGCCCGUCGAGAUGUGAAGCUAUAAGACAGGAAAAUUAUGAGUGCACCUUCAAUGGGACUGAAAGAUUAGCCGUGCGAAGGAUUGACGCAGCUAUUGCAUAGGCAUACCAUGGCUGCACCAGAGUAGGAAACAUGCAUCAGUGGCUAAAUUGGAAAGAAAAUCGAGAUCACACUCUCUUUCAAGUUUUAACAGCUCAAGCACAAAAGAGCACCUUAAAAAGCUCCACUGGAGUGAACCAAGAGAUAUCAUGCAUCUUAUACAGCUUAUCAAGAUGCUUCAUGUACGCAGUCCUCCCUGCGUGAUAUAACACCAAAUUAUUUGCAGCUAUACGCACAUGUCCGAGUUGUCAGCACAGCAUUGCACAUAACCAGCACUGACCAAUACAUGGAUAGUAGUGUUUAGACUAUUCUACUCCGAGCACACACGCAUACAACAUGUUUGUGGAAAUGCCGCCCCAACAGACAACUGAAGAAAUCCAAACUUCGUCGAUCAAGUGUACUCCAACAGACUGAAUUCGGCACAGGGGCAGCGGGGAGGGACAGAGCAAUCAGUACCGUCGAGCUUGUGGAAGCGGAUGGCGGAGUCGAGCACGCCGACGGGCCCCGACCGCUUGGAGAAGUAGCCGUGGUUGGGGUCGUAGAGCGCCGACCUCACGAAAUCGCGCACCUGCGAGGGGAAGCUCCCCUGUCAAAACAGCAGGCACUACAGGGAGAUCUCGGAGUGAUGAGAGAGGCCUCGACGUUUACCAGAACGGGCUUGUCGCCGGCGACGAUCCCCGAAGAGAACAGAGCCAACGGGGCCCACCGCGCCGCGCGCCGGAGCGCGGGGAUGGUCGCCAGGUACGCCGGCGCCAUGCCGGAGGGAGCGUGUCGUUGCGGCGGCGGCGCUUCUGGACCUUUCCUCCGAAACAGAACUGAAAUGAAACAACACUUGCUGGGCCGUUUCGGGUGCUUUUGGCAGAACGUUUCGAGCCCAACUCUGAGCCCGUCUCCUCCCCACUGUACAAGAAGAAGCCCACGGCCGCCGUCGGGUCGCCGGCUCACACAGGCAGAAACGAAAAGUUGGGAGGAGAGAGAGAUAGAGCAAUGCCGCGUGCGCUUGGUGGGAAGGGGAGGGGGAGGGGCGGGGCUCCGGCGAGGCCCAUCGCGGCGAUCCCCGUCGCCGUCGGCGUCAACCGGCGGAUGGCGCUCGAGAUGCGCAAGGCGGGGCUGAUGAACAAGGCGAAGGAGCUCGCGGAGAUGGCCGACGCGCCCGUCGCGGUGCUCUGCUCGGGCCUCGACGGCCAGGGCGCCCUGCAGUGCUGGCCGUCGACGGAGACCGCGAGGGCGGUGGUGGGUCAGUUCCUCGAGCUCCCGAAGGAGGCCCGGAUCACGUUCGAUCAGGCCAGCUACAUCGCGGGCGUGCGCGACGCGCAGGGGUCCAGGCUGGCCGGGGUGCGGGCGGGCGGCCUCGCCGCCGCGCUCGGGCCGUGGGAGAGCCCGCUCGACGGGAUGUCGGAGGACGCGCUCCGGGAGCUGCUCGCUUCCGUCGGCAAGUCCCUUGAUGCCACGCGGAGCAGGAUCCGGAGGCUGCAGACCCAGCGUCGCGAGAGCGUGGCGGAGAACUUCGUGGUGGCGGGGGAGGGUCACGCGAGCGGCGAGGUGCAGGGGACGCGGAGGCAGCCACGGGGCGCCGCCACGGCCCCCGGUGCUGCGCGGAAGAAGCAGCUGGUGGAGGAUCCCAAGGUGAAGCCCGCCGCCGCCGACGGCGCUGCGCGGAGGAAGCAGCUGCUGAAGGAUCCCAAGGAGAAGCCCGCCGCCGCCGAUGGCGCUGCGCGGUGGAAGCAGCUGCUGAAGAAUCACAAGGAGAAGCCCGCCGCCGCCGCCAACGUCCACGCUGCGCGGAGGAAGCAGCUGCUGGAGGGUCCCAAGGAGAAGCCCGUGCGCGCCGCCCCGUUCGACCCCGGGAUGAUCGAGUACUACAUCAACGUGGGCGGGUGCGUGAUGGAGCGCGACGCCUACGACUUCAUCCGGUACGACCUCGGGAUGCUCCCGCCCAGCCUCGAGCCCGAGCCGCCGGAGCCGGACUACGACGAUCCGCCGCGGCUGUGGUCGUGGGACGACUCCUCCUUCCCCCAGAGCGCGCCGCCGCCCAAGUGAGCCGCCUACGUGCUGGCUGCACAGAACACCGUGUGACGAGUUCGCCCAAUUUUGGAGGAUGGCAUCGUGGGGCUCUUGUCACUGCCGCCGCUAUCUACUAGCUUAGCUGGGUUCCGUAGUACCUACCGACAAUGGCUUCACCGGCCGGUCUCGCCGCGUAGUCCCGAUCGAUUUCCCCGGACAGCCAUGGCGUGGAACUGGCAUUGCUAGCUGAAGUCAGAGAGUACUAGUACUAGUAACUGUAGAACCGGACACUAUAGAUCGAAGAAACACCGUAGAUCGAUGAAAUGUGGUUGGAUAAAAAGGCACCGAGGCCGAUUUUCGGCUUAGAACAUCAAAACCUUCCUCUGGUUACGCUUCGGAGGAAAUAUCCAGUCUGCAAAACAAUUGAGCAAGAGGUUGGAAAUAUUUCUUGGUUGACGUUUUUAUGUACUCCUAUAUACUUCCUCCGUCCCAAAAUUCUUGUCUUAGAUUUGUUUAGAUACGGAUGUAUCUAAUACUAAUAUGUGACUUGAUAUAUCUAUAUUUAGAUAAAUGUAAGACAAGAAUUUUAGGACGGAGGGAGUACCAAAACCAAAGCACAUACCAGUAUUUUGGCCAUGCUCAGAAUUUUGUCUCUUGUUUGGAUUUUGACAAUUUUUUCCAUGUUUUUUUUACAAAAUGGCCUAAGUCCAUAUAUCAAGUAUCACAUGUCCUUAUUACAAAUAAAAUGUAUUAAAAUUCUUGGGGUGCCGAAGUCUUCUUCUUCCUCCAUCCAUCGUCAGCAAGCCAUGAGUGUAGCUCGAUGCUGCCUCUGGGCAUCCGCCUCAGCAAAAGCAAACUUAUUUGAACUCAUAGUCUUGUAUAAGCACCGAUUCAAGUCAUCGAUUCAGAACAUGAGACGCCGACGGACACGAUCUGUGAAGAAAAUCGCCGCCGGCGGACACUGAAAAGAUGCAUGUAGAAACUCCAAAGACCAUGAAAACGAGUCGAAUCCAGAUGGAUCCACUGAAAACCAAAACUGACCGGAUCCCAGAAGACCCGUCAGAGACACAGGUCCACACACCCUUUGACGGUGAUAAGUGCACCAAGGAGACAAGUGAAAAGUUGGCAAUCUUCUCUCCUCCAAUUUUGUCUCUUAUUUCCUAUUUGGAUGCCUGCCAAUUUUCUUCAUGUUCAUAUUCUUUCGCUAACUCUAGUUUAUUUUUCUUAUCAUUUUGGUUAAAGAAAAUUAAAGGCAACGAAAGCCUUUUCCUCCCAAUUUACCCGGAUUUGAGUGCAAUUAUUUUAGUUAUGUUUACAUGUCUAUGUGACUUAGUGAAUUCUAGUUCAUCUUUCUUACUAUCACUGACCGAAAAGGGCGGCCAGAACCUUAACAAAAGCCUGGCCCUUCUGAUUUUCGUGAUUCGAACACAAUAGUUUUGAUUGUCACCGCUAUGAAAAUCAUCCAUUUAGUUUCCUAUUGUCAUGGUAAAAUUUUGGCCCUUGUUUAGAUAUUAUCCAAUAUUUUUGGAUGUCCUACUACCUUAGUCAACUCUGCAUUUUUUCUGACCAUUGAAACAGUACGAGAGGCUCCUGCUGCAUAUAUAUUACAUAAUCAAAUAAUAUAGUACAUAUUUACAUGUUUGGCCCAAUACCACUUUGGGUAUGGGUAGAAGAGGGAUUAUAGAAGGGACUAGGUCGGUACAAGAAUGUUUCAACUAGUCAAUGGCUGCAACAAAUGUAGAUUGUUUUAAUUGUUGUUUCGAUCUUUCUAGAGGCUCCAAGCAGCCACCAAGAAAAUAUUCAUGAACAUAGGUCUACUCCAUUCUUCCUUGGCGUUUUUAGUGAGUUGCAGUCUGUCAUCACACUCAGGCCAAUGCAUGCCAAGAACUUGCCAACAACCUCUGAUAAAUGUGCAGUGAAAGAAGAGAUGUUCCAACGUUUCUUCAGUUUGGGUUUCACAUAGCAGGCAGUCAAUGUUAUCUCCAAUGUUGUAGUGCCUCCUUUUGAGCAUAUUGCUUAUGUUAAGCCUGUCCGAGAGUAGGAGCCAACCGAACACUUUAAUUUUGGGCAAGCUUUCAAAUCUUCACAUCCAGAGCAUGGAUAUCUCUAAAGUAAAAAAGCAUAGUAUGUGCUAGUCUUAAAGUCCACAACACCCCAGACGUAUGUCCAAGUGCCUCGAGCUUCCCCAGAGAUGUCUGGAUCAAGGAGAUCAAAUUGCAAUUGUCUCACCUCCUCAUGAGCUUGUAUCUGUAGAGGGAGGUGCAAGGUGGCAUUGAGAUCGCUAGUGAGCAAAAAGUCUCUGACAAAGGCAUCCUCUUUGGUGGUAUAUGAGUAGGCCCGAGGGAAUGUUUUAGAAAGGACAUUCUCUUGCCAUGAAUCCUUCAAGGAUAGAGCUGAUGUGCCACAAUGAAUUUGAACAGUGGAGAUCCCUCUAAAGAUUGUGUUGAGUUGCAUGACAUCACCCUACCAAAAGGAUCCACAUGGCUCUGUACAUGGGGUAUGGAGCUGCAGUAAUAUGUGUUCCAAAUCAUAUUCACCCAAAGAAUGUCGUGGUGAUUAUAUAAUGUAUGCAGGAAGUUGAGCGGCAUUGCAUCGUUUUGAAUGUGUAAGUUGAUUACUCCAAGACCAUCAUACUUUUGGGGACGACAAACCAUAUCCUAACCGGCCAGGGAAUUGCAUUUCUUACCAUUUUUUUCCAGUUUCCUUAUUCCACAGGCAGUGACGUCCAAUCUUGUCCAGUUGAGCUAGGAUCUUUGGAUGUAGUCGUAUAGUGCCCAUGGUGAAUGUUGCCACGAAAGUGAUGAGGGAGUUUAAUAAUGAGAGUUGCCACAAACACUUUUAAAAAGGGCGCAAUCAACACUUGAUUUUUGUUACUUUCAUUGAAUCGUACACAAUUUUUGUAGGUAUUUUAGAAAGACAAAAUCCAAUUAAACAAAGUAGUUCAUAAGUCCUAAAAAGUGAAAUGACCAACCAAAUCAACAUUAAAAAAUGGUGGCGUAGGUCAAAUUGAGGGCAACAUAUACGGUAUGGUGCAUGAUGGUGGGUGCGCUAGCACAUGAUGCCUUCGGUACAUAAUCACAAUGCUAUAGCCUGAACAAACUCAGCUAUAGAAAUAUCAUAAAACGAAAGGUGAUUGGAACCUAUGGAGCUGGAGUGUAAUUUUGCAUAUAAUAGCAAUAAAAGUGCACUAAUAUACAUAUUGCUGAUAACGUGGAAGUCUGAUUUUUAAAGCAUUUUGUUUUUCUAGGAAGAAAAAACUCAGCCCUCCUAAUUGAAAGCCCACUCUUGAGGGCGACUUUCGCCCAAACCCUACCUGAAGGCUAUGGUCUAAAAUAAGGGGUGCAAUAGCAAGUUUGGAGCCGGAACCUCUCGGCUAAGCAAAAGCAUGCAACAACAUACCCUGAGGCUCCAUGAAGGCCACCCAGAGGGUGUCCAAAGGUUCAAGACCGGCUCAGAGGUUCUUGUCACACUCGUCUUAUAUAUGUCAGAUUCGAAGGCGGUGUGUGUGUGUGUGGGGGGGGGGGGUUGUCUUUUUUAUGAAAAAACCAGUUGCCUUGUAUAUAGAUGAACGGUGACACUCAAUUUGAAAAUGUAAUCAAUUGAAUCAAUCUAGUACUUUUCCAUCUCCUAUUUUCCCCUCCCUCAUUUUAUGCUUCUUGUUCUUCAUUAUUCUUAGUCUUUGAUGACAUUGAAGGAAAUAUGCCCUAGAGCCAAUAAUAAAGUUAUUAUUUAUUUCCUUAUUUCAUGAUAAAUGUUUAUUAUUCAUGCUAGAAUUGUAUUAACCGGAAACUUAAUACAUGUGGGAAUACAUAGACAAAACAUGGUGUCCCUAGUAUGCCUCUACUUGACUAGCUCGUUAAUCAAAGAUGGUUAUGUUUCCUAACCAUAGACAUGUGUUGUCAUUUGAUAAACAAGAUCACAUCAUUAGGAGAAUGAUGUGAUGGACAUGACCCAUCCUUUAGCUUAGCAUUAUGAUCGUUACAGUUUCAUUGCUACUGCUCUCUUCAUGACUUAUACAUGUUCCUCAUACUAUGAGAUUAUGCAACUCCCGAAUACCCGAGGAACACUUUGUGUGCUACCAAAUGUCACAACGCAAAUGGGUGAUUAUAAAGGUGCUCUACAGGUGUCUCCGAAGGUGUUUGUUGGGUUGGCAUAGAUCGAGAUUAGGAUUUGUCACUCUGUGUUUCGCAGAGGUAUCUCUGGGCCCUCUCGGUAAUACUCAUCACUAUAAGCCUUGCAGGCAUUGUGACUAAUGAGUUAGUUGCGGGAUGAAGUAUUACAAAACGAGUAAAGAUACUUGUCGGUAACGAGAUUGAACUAGGUAUUGAGAUACCGACGAUCGAAUCUCGGGCAAGUAACAUACCGAUGACAAAGGGAACAACGUAUGUUGUUAUGCGGUUUGACCGAUAAAGAUCUUCGUAGAAUAUGUAGGAACCAAUAUGAGCAUCCAGGUUCCGCUAUUGGUUAUUGACCGAAGACGUGUCUCGGUCAUGUCUACAUAGUUCUCAAACCCGUAGGGUCCGCACGCUUAACGUUCGAUGACGAUUAGUAUUAUGAGUUUAUGUGAUAUGUUGUACCGAAGAUUGUUUGGAGUCCCGGAUGUGAUCACGGACAUGACAAGGAGUCUCAAAAUGGUCGAGACAUAAAGAUUGAUAUAUUGGACGAUUAUAUUCGGACACCAGAAGUGUUCCGGUGAAGUUUCGGAUAUAACCGGAGUGCCGGAAGGGUUAUCGGAACCACCGGAGAAGUAAUGGGCCUUAUUGGGCCUAAGGGAGAGAGAGAGAGAGGGGCGGCCAGGGGCUGGCCACACGCCCCCCCAUGGGCCUAGUCCGAAUUGGACUAGGGGGAGGGGCGGUGCCCCCUCCUUCCUUCUUCUCCUAGUAGGACUAGGAAAAGGGGGAGUCCUACUCCUACUAGGAGGAGGAUUCCUCCCCCCCUUGGCGCGCCCUAGAGGGCUGGCCGGCCUCCCCCUUGCUCCUUUAUAUACGAGGGCAGAGGGGCACCCUAGAACAAACAAGUUGACAAUUGUUUUAGCUGUGUGCGGUGCCCCCCUCCACAGUUACACACCUCGGUCCUAUCGUCGUUGUGCUUAGGCGAAGCCCUGCGCCGGUAACUUCAUCAUCGCCGUCACCAUGCCGUCGUGCUGAUGAAACUCUCCCUCGGCCUCAAUUGGAUCAAGAGUACGAGGGACGUCAUCAAGCUGGACGUGUGCUGAAUGCGGAGGUGUCGACUACAUCAACCGCGUUACCUAAACGCUUCCGCUUUUGGUCUACGAGGGUACGUGGACACACUCUCCCCUCUCGUUGCUAUGAAUCUCCUAGAUAGAUCUUGCGUGAUCGUAGGAAUUUUUUUGAAAUUACCGCGUUCCCCAAUAGUGGCAUCUGAGCCAGAUCUAUGCGUAGAUGUUAUAUGCACGAGUAGAGCACAAAGAGUUGUGGGCGAUAAUAGUCGUACUGCUUACCAGCAUGUCAUAUUUUGAUUCGGCGGUAUUGUUGGAUGAAGCAGCUCAGACCGACAUUACGCGUACUCUUACGCAAUACUGGUUUUACCGAUGUGCUUUGCACAUAGGUGGCUGGUGAGUGUCUAUUUCUUGAACUUUAGUUGAAUUGAGUUUGACUACAUCCGGUCCUUGUUUAAGGUUAAAACAGCACACUUGACGAAAAAUCGUUGUGGUUUUGAUGCAUAGGUAAGAACAGUUCUUACUAUAAGCCUGUAGCAGCCACAUAAAACUUGCAACAACAAAGUAGAGGACGUCUAACUUGUUUUUGUAGGGCAUGUUGUGAUGUGAUAUGGUCAAGACAUGAUGUGUUGUAUGAGAUGAUCAUGUUUUGUUAGAGUUAUCGGCAACUGGCAGGAGCCUUAUGGUUGUCUCUUAAUUGCAUAAGAUGCAAGCGCCAUAUAAUUGCUUUACUUUAUCGCUAUGCGAUAGCAAUAGUUGCAAAAGCAAUAAUUGGCAAGAUGACCAUGUGAUGACACGUUGAUAAAGAUCAAGAUGAUGGAGAUCAUGGUGUCAUGUCGGUGACGAUGGAGAUCAUGAUGGUACUUUGGGGAUGGAGAUCAAAGGCACAAGAUGAUGAUGGACAUAUCAUGUCACAUAUUUUGAUUGCAUUGAUGUUUAUCUUUUAUAUUCUUAUUUUGCUUAGUUCGGCGGUAGCAUUAUAAGAUGAUCCCUUACUAAAAUUUCAAGGUAUAAGUGUUCUCCUUGAGUAUGCACUGUUACGAUAGUUCUUCGUGCCGAGACACCACGUGAUGAUCGGGUGUGAUAAGCUCUACGUUCACAUACAACGGGUGCAAGCCAGUUUUGCACACACAGAAUACUCGGGUUAAACUUGACGAGCCUAGCAUAUGUAAAUAUGGCCUCGGAACACUGGAGACUGAAAGGUCGAGCAUGAAUCAUAUAGUAGAUAUGAUCAACAUAGUGACGUUCACCAUUGAAAACUACUCCAUCUCACGUGAUGAUCGGACAUGGUUUAGUUGAUUUGGAUCGCGUGAUCAUUUAGAUGACUACAGGGAUGUCUAUCUAAGUGGGAGUUCUUAAAGUAAUAUGAUUAAUUGAACUUUUAUCAUGAACUUAGUCCUGAUAUAUUUUACAAAUUAUGUUGUAGAUCAAUAGCUCGUGUUAUAGCCUCCCUAUGUUUUUUAUAUGUUCCUAGAGAAAACUAAGUUGAAAAAUGAUAGUAGCAAUGAUGCAAACUGGGUCCGUGAUCUGAGGUUUAUCCUUGCUGCACAGAAGAAUUAUGUCCUUGAUGCACCGCUAGGUGACAGACCUAUUGCAGGAGCAGAUGCAGACGUUAUGAAUGUUUGGCUAGCUCAGUAUGAUGACUACUUGAUAGUUUAGUGCACCAUGCUUUACGGCUUAGUACCGGGACUUCAAAGACAUUUUGAACGUCGUGAAGCAUAUGAGAUGUUUUAAGAGUUGAAGUUAAUAUUUCAAGCAAAUGCCCGAGUUGAGAGAUAUGAAGUCACUAACAAGUUCUAAAGCUAAAAGGUGGAGGAUAAUAGCUCAAGCAGUGAGCAUGUGCUCAGAUUUUCUGGGUACUACAAUCGCUUGAAUCAAGUGGGAGCUAAUCUUCUAGAUAAGAUAGUGAUUGAAAGAGUUCCCUAGUCACCAUCACCAAGUUACUGGAACUUCGUGAUAAACUAUAAUAUGCAAGGGAUGAUAAAAUAAAUUCCCGAGCUCUUCGUGAUGCUAAAAAUCGACAAAGGUAGAAAUCAAGAAAGAGCAUCAAGUGUUGAUGAUUGACAAGACCACUAGUUUAAAGAAAAAGGGAAAGGGAAAGAAAGGGAACUUCAAGUAGAAUGACAAGCAAGUUGUCACUCCUGUGAAGAAGCCCAAAGCUGGACCUAAGCCUGAAACUGAGUGCUUAUACUACAAAGGAAAUGGUCACUGGAAGCGGAACUACCCCAAAUAUUUGGCGGAUAAGAAGGAUGGCAAAGUGAACAAAUGUAUAUUUGAUAUACAGAUUAUUGAUGUGUACUUUACUAGUGUUCAUAGAAACCCUGGGUAUUUGAUACCGGUUCGGUUGCUAAAAUUAGUAACUCGAAACGGGAGUUGCAGAAUGAACAGAGACUAGUUAAGGGUGAAGUGACGAUGUGUGUUGGAAGUGGUUCCAAGAUUGAUAUGAUCAUCAUUGCACACUCCCUAUACUUUUGGGAUUAGUGUUAAACCUAAAUAAAUGUUAUUUGACGUUUGCGUUGAGCAUGAAUAUGAUUUGAUCAUGUUUAUUGCAAUACAGUUAUUCAUUUAAAGUCAGAGAAUAAUUGUUGUUCUGUUUAUAUGAAUAAAACCUUCAAUGGUCAUACACCCAAUGAAAAUAGUUUGUUGGAUCUCGAUCAUAGUGGUACACAUAUUCAUAAUAUUGAUGCCAAAAGAUACAAAGUUGAUAAUGAUAGUGCAACUUAUUUGUGGCACUGCCGUUUGGGUCAUAUCGGUGUAAAGCGCAUGAAGAAACUCCAUAAAGAUGGACUUUUGGAUCACUUGAUUAUGAAUCAUUUGAUACCUGUGAACCGUGCCUUAUAGGCAAGAUGACUAAAACUCCGUUCUCCGUAACAAUGGAACGAGUUACUGACUUAUUGGAAAUAAUACAUACUGGUGUAUGCAGUCCAAUGAGUGUAGAUGCUCGUUGUAGGUAUCGUUAUUUUCUGACCUUUACAGAUGAUUUGAGCAGAUAUGGGUAUAUCUACUUAAUGAAACACAAGUCUGAAACAUUUGAAAAGUUCAAAGAAUUUCAGAGUGAAGUGGAGAAUCAUCAUAACAAGAAAAUAAAGUUUCUACGAUCUGAUCAUGGAGGAGAAUAUUUGAGUUACGAGUUUGGCCUUCAUCUAAAACAAUGUGGAAUAGUUUCUCAGCUCACGCCACCUGGAACACCAUAGUGUAAUGGUGUGUGUCGGUGUCAAAACCGGCGGAUCUUGGGUAGGGGGUCCCGAACUGUGCGUCUAGGCGGAUGGUAACAGGAGACGAGGGACACGAUGUUUUACCCAGGUUCGGGCCCUCUUGAUGGAGGUAAAACCCUACGUCCUGCUUGAUUAAUAUUGAUGAUGUGUGUUACAAGAGUAGAUCUACCACGAGAUCAAGGAGGCUAAACCCUAGAAGCUAGCCUAUGGUAUGAUUGUUGUUUGUCCUACGGACUAAAGCCAUCCGGUUUAUAUAGACACCGGAGAGGGCUAGGGUUACACAAAGUCGGUUACAAUGGUAGGAGAUCUACAUAUCCGUAUCGCCAAGCUUGCCUUCCACGCCAAGGAAAGUCCCAUCUGGACACGGGACGAAGUCUUCAAUCUUGUAUCUUCAUAGUCUUGGAGUCCGGCCGAUGAUGAUAGUCCGGCUAUCCGGACACCCCCUAAUCCAGGACUCCCUCAGUAGCCCCUGAAUCAGGCUUCAAUGACGAUGAGUCCGGCGCGCAUGUUGUCUUCGGCAUUACAAGGCAGGUUCUCCCUCCGAAUAAUUCAUAGAAGAUUGUGAACACCAGGAUAGUGUUCGGCUCUGGAAAAUAAUUUCCACAUACCACCGUAGAGAGAAUAAUAUUUACACAAGUUCAAUCUGCUGACGUAUUUGAUGGCGUGACGUCACACCACUACCAAGCCUUUACUUAAAUCGUUUUUAUUGUACCACCUCAGCGCGUUUAGCGAAGCGGUUUCCUUGGCACGUCUUGUCGAAGCAGAGAUUGUGUUCCCCUUAUUAUGGGAUUCCCAUCAAUACGGACGUGGGUAACCCAACCGCGCCAUUGAUUGCGGCGCUUGGGGGAUAAGCGAGUUUUAUCAGGCCGGUGGGGACGCAUGUUUCCGUCCGCCCAUAUAAGGGGAUAAAGAUCCAACCCUUUUACCUGCGCCUUUUUCCUCCUUGGCUUAUCCAUCUCUGUGAACCCGAGCUCCAGCGCCCAAGCCCGCACAUCUCACCUCAACCUUCUCCAACUAUAUCCGGAGCAGGAGGCAAGUGGAUGGCCUCCUCCGUCACGGAGGGGCAGAUCCAGAAGCUGCGCAACGCCGGAUACUUGUCCAGCGAUAUUGCGCACCGGCUCCCGAACAAGGGAGAGCUCAUCCCCACCCCCAAGCCCCAUGAGAGGGUAGUAUUCCUUCCCCAUUUCCUCCGCGUACUGGGCUUCCCGCUCCAUCCCUUUGUCUGGGGGCUCAUGUUCUACUACGGCCUGGAUUUCCAUGAUCUGGCCCCGAAUUUCAUCCUCAACAUCUCGGUGUUUAUCGUCUUGUGCGAGGCCUUCCUCUGCAUCCAGCCCCACUUCGGCUUGUGGCUCAAGACCUUCAGUGUCAAGCCGAAGGUUGUGAAGGGCAGCCAAGCGGAGUGCGGAGGCUCCAUGGUGGGCAGGAUGUCCCACGUUACGUGGCUGGAGGGCACUUUUGUGGAAACCAUCAAGGGGUGGCAAUCGGGGUGGUUCUACAUCACCGAGCCGCGUGACCCUGAUUGGGCAGCGACCCCCGAAUUCAGAUCCGGCAUCCCCACACGGCUCACCUCCUGGAAAGAGAGUGGCCGGAUCUGGGGCGAUUCGGAGGAGCUGACCGGACUCCAAGCCUGUAUCCAAAAGCUGGUGGACAAGAAGCUCAAGCUUGUUAACGUAGUCCAGGUCAUGCUCAUCCGCCAGAUUCUCCCGUGCCAACGACGGGGCUUCAACCUGUGGGAGUUCGAUCCGGCGCAGCACCAGACUUUGAAUGGGCUCUUCGACACUACGUACAAAGAUGUCUGGAAGAUGCUGUUCAAGGGCGCCGAGGCUCCCGCAUCCGCUACCGAAGAUCGCGGAUUCAGCUUGGAGCGUCCAGCUGAUGAGGUAAGUUAUUUUGUCCUUUAAGGGACGCUUGUUUUCCAUAGUUUGACUCUAUGCGGGAUCUAAACUCCCUUUCCUUUGACAGGACUGGCUGAAGAAGGCGGCACAAGCUAUCAGUCCGGCCCCAUUGCCAGAGGUCCCAGCGGACGCCCGUUUGACGGGGCUGCUGGCUCCGGCACCCCAUGUGGUGCCGGAGAAGAAGGCCAAGAAGAAGGCCACGGGGACUCGGAAGAGUUCCCGUUUUCAGGUGCUAUCGGAUGAUGAAUCCGAGGCCGACUCCUCCCACCAAGGCGAGGAGGAGAAGAAGAAAGCCUCUCCCCCAGCGGGGGGAGGGAAGAAAAGGAAGGCCUCCCCAACAAGGGAGGCCGAAGGGUCCAAGAAGGGAAAAACUCUUCCCCCGGACUGCUCUGCCAACGCCAGUGACGACGACGAGGACUGGCCUCCAAGGGCCAAGCCCCUGGUGAGAUCGUAAGUAUCCGGACUCCCGAAUAACUUCAAGGUUUUUAUUUUCUGCCACAUAAUGUCUUUCUAAUGCCGCAUACAACCCUGCAGUCCGCCUAAGGAUGAUCUUCCCACUUCGUCGAGCGGGUCCUUAGGUGCGUCGGAUAUGGAUUCUCUUCCGACUGCCUCCACCCCCCGCGACACGGACGAUGCCGAGGUGGAAUCCCAGGAAGGGACCCACCAGGAGGAGAGGGCCCCGGAGGUGUCGCAGGACAACCUCCCGGACUUUGCACCGGACUCGGCCCUGGAACCCACACUGGCUCCGGAGUCCGGCGGGCGACCCCUUCGCAAGAAGGGCAAGACCGUGACCCCGGCUGCCUCCGUCCGACCGGAGGUGCCGGAUAAUUUGCUGGAGGCACUCAACGGCGCCUCCAUCAAAGAGGAACACCGCACUGUUAUGAGUGCGGUGAUUCAGAAGGUGCAGCUCGCCAAGAGCGGGCUGACCGAAGCCUGCAGCAGCCUUCUAACAGGCUUUGAGGUAAGAAUUUCAAUAUGUAUAAAAUGGUACCGCAUAGACAGUAGCCCCUGAUGCUCGUUUUGGUGUUUGGAAAGAAAAGCCGGACUGAGGAUCUAAAAAAGAUAUACGCAGGAGUCAUAAAAAUAUGUCAAUAUGGGAUUGCAGGCUGCGCUGCUGACCUCUGCCGCACUGACUGCGGAGGUCAAUACUUUGAAGGAAAACCUCGAGCGGUCCGAGAAUGAGCUCGGCCGUGCCAAGAAGCAGCUCGAGGACAAGGAAGGUGAGUAACACCUUAUUAAAAUUGCACCUUAUAGAAAAGGAUUUUGGUUGCAAAAAGAAUGACAAGGAUAACGUGGGUAUUGCAGGGGCCACUAACGAGGUGGCGACCCUGAAAGAGGCGGUGGCCGCAGCCGAACGCAAUGCGGCUAUGGAGCGCACCGAGCGAGAGAAGCAGGAGGCGCGGGUGGUGGAGGUACAGCAAGAGCUCCAGGAUCUCGUGCAGAAACAUGAGAGCCUGGAGCGUGACUGGAAGACUCGAGAGUCUGAGCUUGCAAUGGCUCUUGAGAGUGCCAAAGCCAUUAAGGUUGAAGCCUACAAGGCCCUCCAGGAGAUCGAGGCGGUAAAGAAAAUAGCAGCGGGUAAGGCAUUUUUCAUGCAAAGUAAGCAUGUGAGUGUUAAUUACCUGUCGCUUACCCGAAUUCGGAGCUCUCCAGGAGCAUUCGCAGAUCUUCCUCGCAGCGUGUCCGAUGCUGCCGCAUUCUACCGGGCCGAGGAGGGGAGCUCGACGAAGAAGGUCUUCUGGUCUCAAUAUGCUGAGGCUGGACAUCCGGUGCCCCUAAGCGACCAGCUGAAGCAGCUGGUCGAGCUCCACAAGGCGGCCGAACAGGCCAUGAAGGGCCUCAUAGUUCAGUUGUGGCCUAAGGAGGCCAUGCCUGGGAGCUACUUCGGCCUGGUGCGGCGGCUGGUGGAUGCGUGCCCGUGGGUUGAAGUCAUCAAGCACUCCGCCUGUAUUGAGGGUGCCCGUCGGGCCCUUGCCCGCGCAAAGGUGCACUGGGGCAAGAUGGAUGCCCAGAAGCUUGUGACGGACCCACCACCAGAGGGCAAGGAGCAUCGCACGCCCGAGAUGUAUUAUAAGAGUGUGCUGAAGGGCGCCCGCACUAUUGCGGGAGAGUGCUCCAAAGAUGUAAUUUUUGAGUAGACUCGCAUUUUGUUAUCCCGUGCGCUGAAAACUUAGUUCAUUUGCACUAAGCAAUGCUUCUUGAUUUAAAAUAUUACCUUCUGUGUGGCUGUUUAUCAAAUCUGAGAGAUGGCAAGUCGUCGGCUUCAGCCCCCACACCACGAGUGCUGGGGUGUUCGGGAUAAAUUUGAGCGCUCUUGUUCCCAUAUUUGGGUCCAUCUAGGGAGGCGCUCAACACAACGAACAAGGCAACCGGACUUAUAAUGCUUGAACACUCUCACUUAGCCAUAGAAUUCUAUAAUUUUAAAUUUCGGCGAAGCCCCUAGUCUUCGGAAGGCCGAAUUUGGGGCGCUAUCCACGCCUGGGCCGGACAAAAUCCGGCUCCUCGCUCUAAGCGGCAUAAGUCUUUAAGGACUCACAAAAACCUCUCAAACAGCGACCGGCUCUCGCCUCAUCAUGACGGUCAGUUUUAGCUUUCUCCACUGAGGCGUUAACCCAACUCAACUGGGGCGCAAUCGCAGUGGUUCUCCCAGUGCUACCUUAGCCGAUGCAACGGAACGUAAGGUACCAAAACAUGGGAGCCGGGCAAACCCAACUAUUGACCCAAGACAUGAUUCGGAGCCGAUGCAUAUAAUGCUAUAAGUUUGGGGCGCCGCACUUGUGAAAGUGUUCGGACUUAUCACACCAUGAUGCGGGAAACAUAAGCCCCUGGUGUGUUUUAACCGUACCAAAGUGUACGGAUGCGACAUGUCGUAAAUGAACAUAUGUAUGAAAAAGAAAUGCAAUUAUAAGCAAAAAGGUGCUGCAUUGUUUUAUUCAAUAAGUGUUGCGAUGAAUGCAGAACGAUACAAAUAGUGCGAUAAGCGAGGGAUGGGACUGUUAAACAUGUCCCCCUCCAGGGGUAGGCUGCGAAGUGGUGUAUAAAAAUGCUCGUAGUGGAGACCACCUCUAUAUUCGUUGCAGCCUUUAUCCUUCUCUGGCUGUUGCAUCGUGAGUUCGGCAGGUUUGCUACCGGACAGGUCCUCUAAUGACGGAGUCCUGUGGGUAAAAAAUAAAAGGUAAAAAGAAAAAAAGAACGACACACUUGAGAGCCCCUGGUGUGGUUGAGCCGCAGUCUGGGCUUAUCGUGGUCGUGCCCCUCUCCCCAUGCCCAUGGUAUCUUCAGAGCGUAAUGAUGCACGCGAAGGACCUGUUUUGACGUUUUACAGGGGCUGGGGAUGGGGCCGCACUGCUACGCGUGCUCGGAACAUGCCAGGUGGUCUUGUUGUAGGUUACUCCGGGCGCGCUUAGCUAUGUCCGGCCGUUUAACGUCCGGACUCGAGAAUUGCCUUAAGAGGCUGCAUUGUACUUCUGCCGCGAGAGCCGCUGUAUGUUCCUCCAUUCGGAGAGAAUGUUCAGUGUUUCCGUUGACCGUGAUGACUCCUCGAGGGCCUGGCAUCUUGAGCUUGAGGUAUGCGUAGUGUGGCACCGCGUUGAACUUUGCGAACGCGGUACGUCCGAGCAGGGCAUGAUAGCCGCUGCAGAACGGAACUAUGUCGAAGAUUAACUCCUCGCUCCGGAAGUUAUUCGGGGAUCCGAAGACCACUUCCAGUGUAACUGAGCCUGCACAAUUGGCUUCUACACCUGGUAUGACGCCUUUAAAGAUCAUCUUGGUAGGUUUAAUCCUUGAGGGGUCUAUGCCCAUUUUGCGCACUGUGUCCUGAUAAAGCAGGUUCAGGCUGCUGUCGCCGUCCAUCAGGACUCUGGUGAGGUGAAAUCCAUCGACGAUUGGGUCUAGAACCAAUGCGGCAAAUCCGCCAUGGCGGAUGCUGGUGGGGUGGUCCCUCCGGUCAAAAGUGAUCGGGCAGGAGGACCAUGGAUUGAACUUCGGGGCAACUGGCUCCAUCGCGUAUACAUCCCUGAGUGCACGCUUCCGCUCCCUUUUGGGUAUGUGCGUUGCGUAUAUCAUGUUCACCGUCCGCACCUGUGGGGGGAAACCCUUCUGUCCUCUAUUGUUCGGCGGUCGGGUCUCUUCCUCGUCAUCGCUAUGCAGCCCCUUGUCAUUGUUUUCGGCAAUUAACUUGCCUGCCUGCUUGAAUACCCAACAGUCCCUGUUGGUGUGGUUAGCUGGCUUUUCAGGGGUGCCAUGUAUCUGGCACAAGCGGUCGAGUAUUCGGUCCAAAUUGGACGGACCCGGAGUAGUUCUUUUGAAUGCCUUUUUCCGCUGACCGGGUUUAGAGCCUCUGAAUCCGGCAUUGAUUGCCGUAUCUUCACUGUUGUUGCCGUUAAUGCAGCGUUUGUUUUUGUUACGACGCGGCCUGCCAUUGCGGUCCUUGAUAUCCGGACUGCCAGAAUUUUUGCUGAGGUUGUUGCUGCGUGCUAGCUAGCUGUCCUCACCCGCGCAGAAGCGGGUCAUGAGUGAUGUGAGGGCUGCCAUGGAUUUUGGCUUUUCCUGUCCUAGGUGCCGGGCGAGCCACUCGUCGUGGAUAUUAUGCUUGAAGGCUGUAAGGGCCUCUGCAUCCGGACAGUCAACGAUUUGGUUUUUCUUGGUUAAGAACCGUGUCCAGAAUUGUCUGGCCGAUUCGUCUGGCUGCUGAAUUAUGUGGCGUAGGUCAUCAGCGUCUGGUGGUCGCACAUACGUGCCUUGAAGUUAUCGAGAAUGCGGCUUCCAGGUCUUUCCAACUCCCAAUUGACUCUGCUGGCAAGCUGUUAAGCCAAUGCCGGGCUGGUCCUUUAAGCUUGAGGGGGAGAUAUUUGAUGGCGUGAAGAUCGUCACCGCGGGCCAUGUGGAUGUGAAGGAGAUAGUCUUCAAUCGAAACCGAGGGGUCUGUUGUGCCAUCGUAAGAUUCAAUAUUCAUAGGUUUAAACCCUUCGGGGAUUUGAUGAUCCAUUACUUCAUUUGUGAAGCAUAGUGGGUGUGCGGCGCCUCUGUAUUGGGCAAUAUCGCGAUGGAGCUCAAAAGAGCUUUGUCUGUUUUGUUCGGCCUUGCCGGACUUACUGUGUCCGGAGCGACGGUUGUCGUCACGUAUCAUGGGGCGCCCACGUGAUCCAUAGAUCGAUCUUGAUUGUCUUGCCCUAUCCUCCAAUAUAUCUCGCAAGUCCGGAGCGUUCCCCUGUGGCCUUGUGCUUUUCGAGCGAUGUCGGGGUACGGGUCUAGUGAAGGGCUUAGAAGCCUCUCUGUCGCGACCACGGGGUGGUCGGUCAGCCGUAUUGUCUCCUGGUGAUGUGGGUUCAUAUGCUUCCUCCUCUAACCAGGGGAGCAACUUGCGUUUAGGGUAACUUUUGGAGGGGCGUUCGAGCUCAUGCUCUUCGGCCGCGAGGACUUCAGUCCAUCUGUCGGCUAGCAGAUCUUGAUCAGCUCUAAGCUGUUGCUGCUUUUUCUUGAGGCUGUUCGCCAUGGCCAUAAGCCUGCGUUUAAAACGCUCUUGUUUGACAGGAUCCUCAGGCACGACGAAUUCGUCGUCGUCGAGGCUGGCCUCGUCUCCGGAGGGAGGCAUGUAGUCCUCUACCUCUUCUUCUGCCGCUCUCUCAUGAGGGCUGGCGUCUCUGUCCUCCUGUGCUGGAUCUUGCUGGAGUGGGUUGUCUUCGGCACUAUCCGGUGUAUUAUUAUCUCCGGUGCCGGAAUCUUCAUUUUUGCUUUGGCAGGAUUUGGAGCGGCGCCGCUGACGCCGACGCUUGGGCUGUUUCUUGGAGGGGUCAUCCUCCGCUGCCCCUUCGCCAUUCCCAUCCUUUGGGAUAUCCACCGUGUAUAUGUCAUAUGAUGAGGUGGCUUUCCAGUGCCCUGUAGGUGCUGGUUCUUGGUCGUCUCCGGCAUCGUCGUCCAUACCGUCGAUGUCUUCGGAGUCGUAGUCUAGCAUGUCGGUUAGAUCAUCGACAGUGGCUACCAAGUGGGUGGUGGGUGGGCCUUGAAUUUCUUCGUUGUCCGCAUCCCAACCGUCCUGGCCGCAGUCCGGCCAGGGCUCUCCUGAUAACGAGAGAUACUUCAGUGAACUCAAGAUGUCGCCAAAAGGUGAGUGUUGAAAGAUGUCCGCCGCGGUGAACUCUAUGAUCGGCGCCCAAUCGGAUUCGAUCGGAGGGGGCGCUGGAGGUUCGGAGUCCGGCAAGGAGUCCGGCACCUCGGAGUCACGAGCUUUAUGAGGGACAAGGUCAGUGUUCGGCUCUAUCGCCAUAGAGGUUGCAGCCCCCAAGGUGAUGUCUAGCCAUCCGUCCUCGAUCUGCACAGCCGGCUCCGAAUUGAAGAUCGGAGCGGGCUCGAGUGCGGCCUCCAGGGUACUGUCCGGCAGCAGAGCUAAAUCAUGCCCGUCGCGACAAUGCGGCACGCUCAGCUGUGGCUCGAAUCCAUCAAGGAUCAAGUCCCCACGGAUGUCGGUCGUGAAGUUCAAACAUCCAAAUCUGACCUGACGGCCAGGGGCGUAGCUUUCGAUCUGCUCUAGAUGGCCAAGCAAAUUGGCCCACAGUGCAAAGCCGCCGAAUACAAAGAUCUGUCUGGGGAGGAAGGUCUCACCCUGGACUACGUCGUUGAUGACGAUCGAAGAAGCCAUCGAGCCUAUCGGCGACGACACAGAGGAACUCUCAAUGAAAGCACCAAUGUCGGUGUCAAAACCGGCGGAUCUCGGGUAGGGGGUCCCGAACUGUGCGUCUAGGCGGAUGGUAACAGGAGACGAGGGACACGAUGUUCUACCCAGGUUCGGGCCCUCUUGAUGGAGGUAAAACCCUACGUCCUGCUUGAUUAAUAUUGAUGAUGUGUGUUACAAGAGUAGAUCUACCACGAGAUCAAGGAGGCUAAACCCUAGAAGCUAGCCUAUGGUAUGAUUGUUGUUCGUCCUACGGACUAAAGCCAUCCGGUUUAUAUAGACACCGGAGAGGGCUAGGGUUACACAGAGUCGGUUACAAUGGUAGGAGAUCUACAUAUCCGUAUCGCCAAGCUUGCCUUCCACGCCAAGGAAAGUCCCAUCCGGACAUGGGACGAAGUCUUCAAUCUUGUAUCUUCAUAGUCUUGGAGUCCGGCCGAUGAUGAUAGUCCGGCUAUCCAGACACCCCCUAAUCCAGGACUCCCUCAGUGUGUCCGAACAUCGUAACCACACUUUAUCGAAUAUGGUGCGAUCUAUGAUGUCUCUUACCAAUUUACCACUAUGGUUUUGGGGUUAUGCAUUAGAGACAACUGCAUUCACUUUAAACAGGGCACCAUCAAAAUACAUUGAGACGACGCCUUGUGAACUGUGGUUUGGCAAGAAACCAAAGUUGUCGUUUCUUAAAGUUUGGGGUUGCGAUGCUUAUGUGAAAAAUCUUCAACCUGGUAAGCUCGAACCCAAAUCGGAGAAGUGCAUCUUCAUAUGAUACCCAAAGGAAAUUGUUGGGUACACCAUCUAUCACAGAUCCGGAGGCAAGAUCGUUGCUAAGAAUGGAUCCUUUCUAGAGAAGGAGUUUCUCUCGAAAGAAGUGAGUGGGAGGAAAGUAGAGCUUUAUGAGGUAAUUGUACCUUCUCCCGAAUUGGAAAGUAGUUCAUCACAGAAAUCAGUUCUUGUGAUUCCUACACCAAUUAGUGAGGAAGCUAAUGAUGAUGAUCAUGAAACUUCAGAUCAAGUUACUACCGAACCUCAUAGGUCAACCAGAGUACAAUCUACACAAGAGUAGUACGAUAAUCCUAUUCUGGAAGUCAUGUUACUAGACCAUGAUGAACCUACAAACUAUGAGGAAGCGAUGAUGAUCCCAGAUUCCGCGAAAUGGCUUGAGGCCAUGAAAUCUGAGAUGGGAUCCAUGUAUGAGGACAAAGUGUGGACUUUGGUUGACUUGCCCGAUGAUCGACAAACCAUUAAGAAUAAAUGGAUCUUCAAGAGGAAGACGGACACUGAUAGUAGUGUUACUAUCUACAAAGCUUGACUUGUCGCAAAAAGGUUUUCAUCAAGUUCAAGGUGUUGACUAGAAUGAGAUUUUCUCAACUGUAGCGAUGCUUAAAUCCGUCCGAAUCAUGUUAGCAACUGUCAUAUUUUAUGAAAUCUGGAAAGUGGAUGUCAAAACUACAUUCCUUAAAUAGAUAUUUCUUAAAGAAGAGUUGUAUAUGAUGCAACCAGAAGGUUUUGUCAAUCCUAAAGGUACUAACAAGGUGUGGAAGCUCCAGCGAUCCAUCUAUGGACUGGUGCAAGCAUCUCAGAGUUGGAAUAUAUGCUUUGAUGAGUUGAUCAAAGCAUAUAGUUUUAUACAGACUUGCGGUAAAGCCUGUAUUUACAAGAAAGUGAGUGGGAGCUCUGUAGCAUUUCUAAUAUUAUAUGUGGAUGACAUAUUGUUGAUUGGAAAUGAUAUAGAAUUUCUGGAUAGCAUAAAGGGAUACUUGAAUAAUAGUUUUUCAAUGAAAGACCUCAGUGAAGCUGCUUACAUAUCGGGCAUCAAGAUCUAUAGAUAGAUCAAGACGCUUGAUAAGAUUUUUCAAUGAGUAAAUACCUUGACAAGUUUUUGAAAGAGUUCAAAAUGGAUCAGUCAAAGAAGAAGUUCUUGUCUGUAUUACAAGGUGUAAAGUUGAGUAAGACUCAAAGCUCGACCAUGGCAGAAGAUAGAAAGAGAAUGAAAGUCAUUCCCUAUGCCACAGUCAUAGGUUCUAUAAAGUAUCACUACAAAAAAAUACACUUCCGUGAUGAUACGUGUUUGUCACAGUAGGUCGCGUUUUUGUCAUGCAUGUACAUCCAUGACGAUUUUAUGACAAAAUCAAGAUGGUCAUACCUGUGCUGUCGUAGAAGUGUUCCAUGACAUUACCAAAAUUAUCAUCACGGAAGGGUCCACUUCCAUGACAAUAAAUCGCGCGUCACAGAAGUGCUUUCUUCAAGGGUGACCGACACGUGGCAUCCACCGUAACGGAACGCCGUUAAGCUAUCGGGUCGGAUUUUGGAUCCGAUAACCCGUUAACAGCCCCGACCAAUGGGGAUUUUCCACGUGUAAAAUCAUCAUUGGCUGGAGGAAAGACGUGUCGGCUCAUCGUUGGGACAGAUGUCAUCCACUCAUUGGACAGAAGGCGCCUAUGAUACGUCGACACGUGGCACGGCCCAACAGAGGCCCAUUCCUGUGAAAAGGCUGGCCCGUUUGACUUGGUCAAAAGGUGGCGGGCCGGCCCAUGGAAAGCCUGUUAACGACUUGUUCGCAUAUAGCCCAUUUACAACCCGCUAACCCAAGGCCCGUUACGCCCUAUCCGAAUUAGGCCCAGUAGCGUCAUCUGGGCCAUCCAAUAUGAUUCCAGCCCGUUUUCACUUCUGGCCCAUGUAUGGCCCAUGACAUCUUUCGGCCCAUAUGAGGCCCUAUGUAACUCUUGGCCUAUUAACGGCCCAUGGUGAAACUGGCCCGUAAUGAACAGUGUAUCACUUUACACCCAUUAACAGUGUAUCACUUUAUACCCAUUAAUGACCCGUUAUUCCGUUGGGCCGUUUCCAGCCCAUGUUAUCUUUCGGCCUUCUUAGAGCCCAUUUAUUCUUGGGCUCAUUUCCAGCAUUCGUUUACUUACGGCCUAUUACUGUCAUUUUCUGCUUGUGGGCCAAAUUCAGCCCGUGGUUACAGUCGGCUCAUUUGUGGUCCGUUAAUAUGUUGGGCCGUUUUCAUAGAGUCAUCAAAUACGGCCUAUUAACGAUGGCCCGUUAUGGUCGGUCCAUGAACGGACGAUUCCAACUCUAGCCCGUUUACGGCCAUAAUGCGGCCUGUUAUUGGCCCAUGUUUGGCCAAUCGAUCAUACGGCCCGUAUAAGGCCCAUUGAUGAUACGGCCCGUAGAAGGCCCAUUGUUUCUAUGGCCCGUAGAAGGCCUUCUGUUUCUACGACCCAUAGAAGGCCCACUGUUUCUACGGCCCGUAGGAGGCCCAGUGUCACUACAGUAAAUAUUAGCCCAUGGUUAUUAUGGCCUAGUUUUAAAAAAUAGGUUAUUGCAUCCACUAGCAAACCGUGGAAAAAGAACUGCACUGACUACAAGCAAACAAAUAAACAAGACAACGAGGAAAUAAAUAAGCAAGCAACUUAUGCUAGGCUAUCACGACUAUUACACAUAUUACAUCCACUGGGCAUCAAAGUUCGCCACCAGUGCAAAUAUAGGGAACAAAGCAGCAUAUAAACGCCGCAACAAAACAAGUCCAGAACUGAAACCACUUCAGAAGAGUUCAAGAAACAAUAUCCUGGGUACCCAUAAUGCUGGCAAGAUGCUUAGCAAGCUUAUUAACUUUCUCUUGUUUGGCGCUUAAAUCCUCCAGCGCUUGCUGUUGCACAAGAAAGUACGCAUCUGAAUUCUGCAGGGACUUCCUUAGUCCUUCGGCUUCUUGCCGCAGCACAGCUGACUGAUGCCUUUCAGCUUGUAGCUGAGUCUGAAGAAGCCGAAGUGAUUCAGGCAGCGAGUUCGAAGAGCUUGUGCCAGCGGUACUGGCCAGUAACUCGAAAACUACAUCAACGCAGGACUGUGUGGGGUUUUCUCACUGUCUACAAGAUCAUUUUUAUCACCUUUCUUGGAGACCAACAGGGUUGUCUCACUAUCUUGAACCUUAUCUGCAUUACUUUCUCUACCAUUGCAUAGUGGGGUGCUCUUCUCCAAUAUUCUGUUUGCAUACUACAAGAGAAACAAGCAGACACAUCACAUGUUUAGCUUGUAGUAUACGAAACUCAUUUUGGUAAACCGGUUCAGUAGUAAGGUGGACAGGAUAACAUCAUGAAACCAACAUAUAUCUAUGUACUGGUCACUGUAUUGUCCAUAUCAUUCUAGUUUAUGUUCCCUAAUCAAGACAGAGACACAGUUCAACUCAUAUAUUUUUUAAGACACAGCAGCAUAGACAGAAUAUAAGUGUGAGAAACUACACAGCAUUGGCAGCACUUGUAAUGUGCAUCACAUGAGAACAUAACUGUUUAUACAACUUAAACUGAAAUCAACAUAGAGCAAGAAGUUAGAACAACAAUCCAGUUAAAGAAAUAGGUUUAAAACAUACCUAUUGCGCCAUUGGAGUUUCAAUUGGAUCCUUCAAAUUCGAAAGUAGUUGGUAUGAGUAAAUACAGUGAUGCAACAACAAAGGAGUAUGGACCAUAGCUACGGAAUCUGACCUGAGAACAGUUGCUCUUCUGCUUUAAACGUGGAGUUUGGGUUAGCUGUGGUGGUAUUCGUGCUUUGGGCACUGCAGUAGCUUUACAAACUGCUCGUGUGGGGGUACUCUGUGGUGGACAUGGUGCUUUGUCAACUAGAAGUGGGUUACUAUCCACUGGGGUUGCGGUUAGAUGGGUUGUAGCUUGUUCUCUACCCAAUGGUGUAAGUGUGCAAUCUGGAAGAGUCUCGAUUAUGUGUGGUGGGGCUAGUUUGUGGGCCAGUACAACCAUGGUUCUAUCUGCAUCGAUGGGUAACACUGUCUUUUGUGAAGAACGAGUUUUUGCUCCCUUAGAUACUGCCAUCACCCCCUCCAAUUCAAAUGGCUGAUAAACAAGAAAAGAAAUUGAAUGUACAGACAUUGUAUGAUAGACAGAUGUGGUAAUUCACAUAUAUGUUGUCUAACCAAAUAGGACAGCAUGACACAAUUUCACAUAUAUGAUGCCUAACUAAACAGGAUAGCAUGACACAGUUUCAGAUAUAUGAUGGAUAACUUAACAGGAUAUAAUGGCAUAAUUCAACAUAUGAUGAGUACCUAAACAGGAUGACAUGACAAAACUAUAUGGUGUCUUUCUAAAAUAGGUUGGGAUGAAAUAAUUCACAUACAUGUUGUCUAAGUAUACAGGAUGACAUGAUAUAAUUGACAUAAUUGAUUCAUAUACUAAGCAGCUGGCACUCGCAUGUAUGAUCUCUAAACUAAGCAGAUAGAAUUCAAUAUUGUGCAUAUGAUGUCUAAACUAAGCAAUGCAAGACACCAUAUGCAUCAUAUGAGAAAUAUAAACAUUGCAACUUAGAGCAUACACCUCAGGUGGGAUAUAGGACUGGUCAUCUGUCUCCUGAAUCCUCCUCUGAGGAGCUCCCUGUAACCAUCGAGAUAUAUGCUUCAACAGGUACCAUUGCCUGCUCUGAAGACCUUGUUUUCACUACAGAUUUUUCCAUAACUGGCUCAAAUGGCUGAUACACAUGAAGAGUAGUUCAAUAUACACAGACUGUCGACAAAUGGAAUAUGUAAUGAAAAAAAGAUGGCAUGAGAUAAUUCACAUAUAUGAUGCCUGGCUCCAUGGCGGUACAUAAUUCACAUAUAUGAUAACUGGCUGAAAAACAUGGCAUUGCAUAAUUCACAUAUCUGAUAUAGAAAGCAAACAAGAGGCAUUCACACAAAGCAUUUCUGAUCUAAGCAGAUGGCAUGGCAAUGCAAGACACCAUAUGCAUGAUAUGAGCAAUAUAACCCAGCCAAGUUAGAGCAUGCACCUCGGGGGGGGGGGAUACGACUGGUCACCUGUCUCUGAAUCCUCCUUUGAGGAGCUAUCUGUAACCAGCAAGAAAUCUGCAUCGACAGGUAGCACUGACUGCUCAGAAGACCUUGUUUUCACUCCAGAUUUUCCCAUGACCGACUCAAAUGGCUGAUGCACAGGAAGAGUAGAUGAAUGUAUAAACAUUCUUGACAAAUGGAAUACAUUAUGGAAAAAAUAUGGCACGAUACAAUUCACAUAUACGAUGACUGGCUAAACAGGAUGGCAUUGCAUGAUUCACGUAUAUGAUGCCUGGCUAAAGAAGAUGGCAUUGCAUAAUUCCCAUAUACUCCCUCCGUUCCUAAAUAUUUGUCUUUUUAGAGAUUUCAAAUGGACUACCACAUACGGAUGUAUAUAGACAUAUUUUAGAGUGUAGAUUCACUCAUUUUGUUCCGUAUGUAAUCACUUGUUGAAAUCUCUAAAAAGACAAAUAUUUAGGAAUGGUGGGAGUAUGAUAUAGAAACCAAACAGGUGGCAUUCACACAAAGCAAAUCUAAACUAAGCUGAUGACAUAUAAGAUGUAUAAUGUAAGCAAUGCAAGGUGCCAUAUGCAUGAUAUGACCAACAUCAGCAUGCCAGGUUAGAGCAAACACCUCAGGUGGUAAACAGGCGUGGUCGGCUCCUUCUGAAUCUCCAUCUGAACAGUUAUCUUCCUCUGGAAUACAAUCUGGAAAUGCAGGAGGGGUGGCACUUCACCCACCAUGGAGCGGCGUUUGCAUGACAUUAUAUUCCCACGCAACGGUCUUCUCUUUUUCUCUACAUGUUCAGUAUGAUUGUGUACAAUAUCUGAUAUGCAUAAUAAAAAAAAUAGUUAGAUUUUGUAAGGCCUAAUGGUUGCAUGCAAAAAUCAAGAUUGAUGGUAGCAAACGAGUGGAUGGAUCCAAAACUAAUGAUAGCAGGUAGAUUAUAGCUUCAGUUUAAAAAGAUAGACAAUGGAUCAUCUAUUGUUUGUUGCCCACCCAACAUGAACCACAUAGAAGACCCCAGAUGAACCAGAUAGUAGACAGAUACUAUUCGUUGCUGGCUCGAUAUGAGACCCAUGGGAAAUUCAAAACUCAAGAUUGAACGAUAAAGUAGCAGGUAAUAAUAAAAGAUGUAUAAUGUAAGCAAACACGAAAGACUGCGACCUCUCUUCCGGAACUGUGUAGUCCUCAGGUUCAUCUGCUCAGUUGAUGAUGGUAAUGCAGUUGGCGUGGCUGCCGACAACGGGGAAGAUGAUCUGAGGCGGCGAAAGAAAGUCUACAGGGGGAUCUCUGCUGCAGUGAAUGCUUCUAUCGAUGGUGCACCUCGGGUGGGGUGGAUGACGGCACGGCAGGAGCAGGACAUAACACACAGAGUUUUCUUUGAUGCCUAUCUGAAAAUGAAGUAAAUCUGUAAGGACUCCUUAGAAUUGGAUGAUUCUAUAAACGCAGGGACAGGAAAAACACAGGAAUAGGAUAGGAAUGCACGUGCAAAACAGAGCAUUUGGAAACAUAGGAUUUCGGUCAACCUGGGUGUUUGGCUCACAUGAAUUGGAAGAACACAGGAAUGGAGAAACAAAGUGAUGCGACGAGUGUACAACCUCUUUGGCAUAGCCUUGUGGACCUCGGCAUCAUUGGGUUGGACGUGGAGGAUGGUGAUGAUGCUGGUGUGACUGUCGGAGGCAGGGAAGAAGAUCCGAGUCCUCUGGAAACGGCGCCGAGGGUACUGCUCCGCUGUGAUGGACGGUUUCGUCGUUGGAGCAGCUCCGCUAAGGUGCACGGCGAUGAGGCUGAAGCAUGACAAGACAGACAACAUUAAUCUAAAGUGGGACCCUAAUAUCAUCUGCAAUAGAUGAUGUAAAAUACAUCACCAAAAAGUGCUAGAUGUAAAAUGCAUCAGCCGCGCCACGGCCGCUCCAACAGAUGCUGUAAGUACUGUUCACUCUGAACUUAACUGAAGAAAAUGAACUUUACAGUCGAAACUGAAUUUUACUAUCGAACCUGAUUGAACUAGUAAUAGAGCAUUGCAAUAGAUGUUUAGGGCGUUCGAGCACUAGUAGCAGAGAAGCAGUGAUCUAGAUCGGCAGAUGCUCGAGCAGGGAACGCACUAGCAGAGAGCAAGUCGUGCAGUAGCACCACGAGCGAGUGCUAAAGCAGCAACUCCUGUAGCUGCCGGAGGUCGUGCAGUAGCAGCAGCAGCGCAAGCGAGAGCAAGAGCAGAGCAGCAGCAUGAACAAAAGAAGGAGCAGUGCAGCAGCAUGACCGACAGCAAGAACAGAGCCGCAGCGCGAGCGAGAGCCGGAGCAGCUACAACUAGUGCGGUUGUGGAAGUCGCUGCCGAGGAAGCAACGACAUGAGGGAGAGACGCCGUGGAUGAUGUGGCCGGCGACGGCGCCAUCGAUGGAGACACGCCAUGUCUGCUCGAUAUCGAGCACCGGCAACCCCGUGAGAUCGAAUAAAAGAUAAAAUGCAGCGGUGAGUGCAGAACCUCCUUGGUGGCGCCGAGUUGGCCUCGGCUUUAUCAGAGGGAUUGGUGAGGGUGCUGCGGUUCCGGUGGGGCAGGUCAAGACGGUGCUGUGGGGAUUGAGGUGGCGCGAUAGACGAGGCGAACGUCGGGGUAGCUCCUUGGAGGUGGAGUACGGGGCGGCUGAUCCGGCGGGACGACGAGAUCGACAACGGAUCCUCAUCCAGUGCGGUGGAUGAGGGACGGCGAGCUGUUGCGGUGGACGACAUAGUCGGGGAAGAGGCUCUGGCUGGGCGGCGGUCGAGAGGCCGACGGAGGAGCGUGGGGUUUCGCGGGUUUUGGCGGCCCCGAUGUACGAAUGGGGGGGCGGGGCGAAGGGGGAGGGGGAGCCAAGCUUAGGGACGCGCUUGUCUGAAAUGUAGGGUAAGUUACCAGCAUACCCCCACCGGUUUUGACACCGCGACGUGGAGCUUCAUUUCCUGCUGAGGGGUAGAAGGGGGAUUUCGCAUGUCUGGGCUACGGGAGCAAUUUCGGAUGAGGAGGGAGUUCUCGCGCGCGUCCAAAUCUCAGGAUAACAAGGCGCAGCACGGAUUGAAGAGGCGGGAGUUUCAAAGCAGGUGAGACAAAAGAUACUCGAGCUUGAAAAUUUCAGGAUAACAAGGUGCGGAUUCCUUGUUCGGUGGAACAAACUUAACGUGUAAAAAAACAAUUCAUACAAGACACAAGAGAUUCAUGUCCCCUUUUACUAUAUUGCUAUAGAUGCCAUUGAAAAAACUACAAGAAAAAUGUAAAAAAAAUCGGGAGAACAAGAUUACCCUUCAUAGUACCAAAUCGAUUCGCACUUCCCUCAACAACAAUAAAAAACAAAUCAAUUCCCACCAAAGAAAGAGUAAUGUCCCUUUGUAUAUGAUUAUAGAUGCCAUGAUCUCGAAUUUCAAUUUUUGAAUCCACGUUAUGUUGAAUUCGAAUAUAUCGUUAGGUGACCUUGCGGUUUAUAAUUGAUGUAGUCGUACAUUUUGAUCUUCCAUCAUAUAUGAACAUUUUACUCCACCAUGUGAACAUAUAUAUUGUCGUCUACCAUAUGGACUAAAUUUGAAUCAAAUUUCCUUAUUUUAAUAUGAUUGUUGUCAAGUUAUACAAUAAUUUAAAUAUUAUCUUGAUAACAAAAAACAUGCAUAUAGUAGUAAUCAUAUUUCACUAUGAACUACAUGUACCAUACGCUCUCCAAUUCAAAUAUUUGUAUCCAUUUUAUGUUGAAUUCAAAUCAUAGUACAUUAUUUGUCUAGGUAGCGAGAUGUUUGGGAUAAUCUAAACCUUGUUUUCAUAUGUAUAAUUUUUGGCUGAAUUGGGACAAGUUUUGGUAUAAGCUUCUUGCAAAACCAGAGAUUCUCUCAACAAGCCUUGUGGUUCCGAGAGGGAACGUGUCACCUUUGUGUGCGAAACGAUAUACGCUGCCUCCCCCUUGAUUUUAUUUACAGAGGCAACAUAGAACUAUAUGAGUGCCCUGUUAAAUUUUGGAAUUAUUUCAGGUUCAUUUGGCCUUUUUAUACAUUAAUUGAGUUUCUGGACUUUUAAUGUGCAUAAUCUAAAUAUGAAUUGCAUGCACAUGCUCCGGUGCACCAAAGUGGGUUGAAAAAUCACAUGUGUGUCCUUGGUUGAAUUUCUAGGUCCCAUGGAAGAAAUGAGAAUGAAAUUCAAACAUCUGGGCGUCAUGACUCGGCCAAGAACAUCGAGAAACUUAGAUUUUAAAUUCAUGUAAAUCCAAAACUCACGUGGAAAUCAUGAAACUUGGCAUGGUGUCAUGUCAUGGCACUAACAUGUUGUGGUAAAAAAUUGGGCCGAUCUGGAAUCUCGUGGUUCUAAGAGGGAACGUGCCACCUUUGAGUGUGAAACGAUAUACGCUGCCCCCCCUUGAGUUUCUUAACAAAGGCAACAUAGAACUACAUUAGUACCUGUUAAAUUUUGGAAUUAUUCCGGGUUCGUUUGUCGUUUUUUAUACAUCAAUUGAGUUUCUGGUCAUUUAAUGUGCAUAAGUCAAAUUUGAACUACAAGCACAUGCUCUCGUGCACCAAAGUUGGUUGAAAAAUCACAUUUGUGUCCUCGGGUGAAUUUCUAGGUCCCAUGCAAGAAAUGAGAAUAAAAUUAAAACAUCUGGGCAUCGUGGCUCAGCCGAGAACAUUGAGAAACUUGGUUUUAAAAUUCUUGUAAAUCCAAAACACAUCUGAAAAUCACGAAACUUGGCAUGGAUGUCAUGUCAUGCACUAAAAAAAAGACACAUCCGUGACAUUUUGGGCCGAACGAAUUUUUUUCCUGUCAUACAUAUGACACUUCUAUGACGAUAAUUGUGACAAAACCCGGUAUCAUCAUAGAUGUGGUGGGCUCCUACUUCUAUGACAAAAAAUCAUGACAUAAAAUGGGCUUUUCGUCCUGGGCGGGCCGGAGACGCAGCUGGAUGACAUUCUUUGGGCCAUCCAUGACGGAAAAAACCGUGGUAGAAGCGAGGGGGAGGAAAAUUUCGGGGAGUUGCCGGUUACGGUGGGAGGUCGGGGGACGAGCGAUGCACGUUUCUCUCGUACACAUACGCGCGUGUGUGCGAGGCGUUGGCUCUAACUGAACCCGAGCAAGGCGUUGGGCUCUAACUGAACCCGAGCGAUUGCACUGCAGGCUACGCGUUACUGAACCCGAGCGAUCAAUUGAUGGCUGUUAACUGAACCCGAUGGAGCGAUUCCUUCGCUACUNNNNNNNNNNNNNNNNNNNNNNNNNNNNNNNNNNNNNNNNNNNNNNNNNNNNNNNNNNNNNNNNNNNNNNNNNNNNNNNNNNNNNNNNNNNNNNNNNNNNNNNNNNNNNNNNNNNNNNNNNNNNNNNNNNNNNNNNNNNNNCUGAAGCCGAUCGAUUGGAUGAACAAUGAGCGUUGCGGGGGGGUGGGUGGAUGAAUAGUGAGCGGUGGCGUUGCCUCUGGAUGAACAGGACCCCGUGGUGUGGAGGGCUGGAUGAACAGUAGACGGUGGAGGGGUGGCUGUGGAGGGGUGGUUGAACAGGACCCCGUGGUGUGGAGGGCUGGAUGAACAGUAGACGGUGGAGGGGUGGCCGUGGAGGGGUGGUUGAACAGGACCCCGUGGUGUGGAGGGCUGGAUGAACAGUUGACGGCGGAGGGGUGGUUGAACAGUAGCCGGUGGAGUAGCGCGCGGUGGAGGCUGGAUGAACAGGAGCACGUGGAGGNNNNNNNNNNNNNNNNNNNNNNNNNNNNNNNNNNNNNNNNNNNNNNNNNNNNNNNNNNNNNNNNNNNNNNNNNNNNNNNNNNNNNNNNNNNNNNNNNNNNNNNNNNNNNNNNNNNNNNNNNNNNNNNNNNNNNNNNNNNNNNNNNNNNNNNNNNNNNNNNNNNNNNNNNNNNACCCCUCCCGAUCAACAGGACCCUCGUUUCGACCGUAGGAGGUCCGUUUCCUCCGUUUUGCGGUAGGCCACACCCCUCUCAAUCAACAAGACCCCCGUUUCGACCGUAGGAGGUCCAUUUCCUCUGUUUUGCGGUACGCCACACCCCUCCCGAUCAACAGGACCCCGUUCCGAACGUAGGAGGUCCGUUUCCUCCGUUGUGCGCUACGUCAGGCCUCGUUUCCAUUGCUUGUUCCGUCCAAGCCCUCCCGAUGAACACGGCCACGCAUUCGUUUCCAUCGGUUGGAUCCCCAUGAACACGACGAUGAUGCUGUUUCUCCGUUCUGACCCAGCCAUGUACGUAUGCGUGAGUAGGCGUUCGAGACCCUGCCCGUAUGUACAUACGUGGCCGUAUUUUCUUUCUUGCACCCUCGCCGCUGUACGUACGUGUACAUGCUACGCGCACGCCUCUACUACGACAUGUGCGCGCCUCUACUACGACACGUGCGUGCCUCUACAAUGACCAGUAUGUACGUACACGUUCGCGACUAGAAUGACAAUGCUACGUACGCUUCGACCAGGUGGGUCCCGACUGUCAGGCACUUCCUUGCCUACGAAGAUGUAGCUGGUGGGUCCCAGCAGUCAGGGGGGCAAAUCGUUUUGUUUUUUUGCCCGGACGCACUUCCUUACAUGCGAAGAUGUAGCUGGUGGGUCCCANNNNNNNNNNNNNNNNNNNNNNNNNNNNNNNNNNNNNNNNNNNNNNNNNNNNNNNNNNNNNNNNNNNNNNNNNNNNNNNNNNNNNNNNNNNNNNNNNNNNNNNNNNNNNNNNNNNNNNNNNNNNNNNNNNNNNNNNNNNNNNNNNNNNNNNNNNNCAGCAGUCAGGGGGGCGAAUCGUUUUUUGCCCGGAUGCACUUCCUUGCGUGCGACGAUGUAGCUGGUGGGUCCCAGCAGUCAGGGGGGCGAAUCGUCUUGUUUUUUUUGCCCGGACGCACUUCCUUGCGUGUGAAGGUGUAGCUGGUGGGUCCCAGCAGUCAGGGGGGAAACGUUUUUUUCGCGAAAUAUGGUGGACCGUCCGGUGGGUCCCCGCUGUCAGGUGGAGGAAUAAUUAUUUUGCGCGUAAUAAGGAGGCACUUCCUUGCGGCCGCCGUGGACCCAGCUGUGAGCCUCUCCACGCAUAGUACUCUUCUGAUGGAAGUCGGUCAUUGACCACAUUGACCACGCCGCGCAGAGAGCACCACGACGGUGGACGACGGUGAGGCCUAGGAAGGGGACAACGCGGAGCCGGGGAAGACGCAACAGUGGAUGCCCACGCGAAGAGGAGUACGAGGGUGAGACUGCCGUCGCCGCAAAAUAACAGGGGGUGUGGGUGAGUAGAGGGAUGGCCUGGCCAGCGGUGGGAGUAGUAGGGGGCGGUGAGGCCUCCGCGGCAUCACAGUCGGCCACAGGAGGCGGGAGCACGCGACACGACCGGCGCUGCUUUGGGCGGCUGGAGCACGAAGACCAGAGGUUGAAGAAGCAGUACGGCCGUUGGAUGGACAUCGUACGGUCACUGGAGCUAGAGUCGUUCAUAUUGACUAAGUUGACAAAGCCCUCCGUCCCCAUAAACUUAGUAGGCCCACAAGUCAGCCUCCCACGAAGGUGAGUCCCAGCUAGUAGGGGGAGUAUUCAUUUUUUUGUGCGUAAUAAGGAGGCAUUUCCGGUGGGUCCGAGCUGACAGCGGGGGGAACGCUUUUUUCAUGAAAUAUAGAGACCCUUGCGGUGGGUCCCAGCUAUCAGGUGGAGGAAUCAUUAUUUUGCGCGUAAUAAGGAGGCAUUUUCCUGUGUGGGCCCCUACCGUCAGCCUCUUCCGAUGGCUGUUGUUUGCUGACCAUGUUGACCUCGCCGCGCUGAGAGCACAAAUGUGGUGGACAAGGGCGGGCCCAGGAAGAGAACCACUCGGAGCCGGUAAAGCCACCGCAGCGGAUGCCCACGCUGAGGGGAGAACGAGCGCUGACUGGUCGGCUGCGGGGUGAGGCUGACGUCGCCGGGAAAUAACAGGAUGUGUGGGUGGUUAGCGGGAUGGCCUGGCGACAGCACAACCAACCACGGGAGGAGGGAGCAGGCAGUCCCGUCGGCGCUCAUUUGGGCGGCUAGAGCAGGAAGAUCAGAGAUUGAAGAAGCACGGCGGCCGUUGUAUGGACAUCCAAUAGUCACUGUUGUGUGUUGACUAAGUUGACAAAGCCUUGCGUACGCGUCAAAAAAAAAUUAGGACAGCGUCAUCGUCAACCUAGUAGGCCCAGAAGUCAGCCUCCAAAUCUGUGGAAAACAGCAUACAACCCAUUAGCCAUUAUUUUCAAUAAUUUACAGCCCAUUUGCUAAUUCUUAAGGAUAUUUGAAGCCCAUAUUCUUUUUAUUAGCAUUACAGACCAUAUAUUCUGGGCACUGCUAAAAAAUUCAACGAAAUUUUGCAUAUUUCGGUGGGGUCCGAACUCUUUUAAUCAUGAAAUUUCGAGUCACGCUAAAAAUAGUUUUCAACAAAAUAUAUCAAAAUAAAGUUCAAAAAACAAUUCUCCGCAAAAAAAAGAAUGAAAUUUAGAAUCUUAACUAGCAAGAUGCCCGUUCGUUGCACGGAACAUGAAGAUGCAUUUGUAUGAGUAGUUUAUCUUGUGGGUGAAAAGAUGAUAUUUUAAUGUAAUUGCCAGUUGGCUUUGGUUUUUAUAAGAGUAGAGAGUAGAGAAAUCCUAAAAAAUGAUAUUUUAAUGCAAUUGCCGGUUGGCUUUGGUUUAAAAAUUUAUAGCCCAUUUCUUACAACUUAUAGCCCAUUUUCUAGGGAAGCCCAUUUCUUAUCCCUCCUCGUCUUGAAGGAUUUGCAGCCCAGCAGGGCUGAGAAAAGCAAGUCGGCCUCGGUUUUGGUAUUCUCCAAAAAAAAGAACUGGGCUAGCCAAUUUUAGAAAGAAAAAAAUAUCAACUGGGCUCGUCAUGUGCUUAAUAAAAGCGUAAGCGUGGGCUAGACGGGCCACAGCCCCCGCACAACGCGUAGUUGAGCUCCGUCUCUGAAACUGAAAAACAACUGGGCGAGCUACUAGGUCCCUGGUGUUAUCCACUCAUUGUGUAAUUUUCUCAUUUAUUGACUACAUUGACAAUGGCGUGGAACCUAGUUGUCAAACAAUUAGGAGGAAGUAUUGUUUUGGCUUGUAAUAACGAGGCACCUGCUUGCGAAAUGCAAUGACCCUGGUGGGUCCCUACUGUCAGCCUCUCCACGUACAGUCAUCUCCUAAUUCCUCUUGGUUGUUGACCAUGUUGACAACACCAGACGGCGGCGAGCACAGCGAGCUAACCAAGGCGGAGAAUGAUGGCAAGGCCUCGGACGGGAACGAACAGCACCCAUGGAAGAUGCGGCAGUGUAGUGGCAGGUGGAGGGGAGUACGAGGGCAACAACAUGCAAGUCAAGCAUACAAAUGGCACAAAAAGCCCAAGGAUUAAUUGUUCAUCAAAUUUUUAUACAAAACCUAGAUUGAACAUGACAGUAACAUCUAACCCAACCACUCUUUUUUGCAGUCACAAACAAAUGGAUCGGUCUGAUCCAUAAAAUGAACAUCCUGUGCAAAAAAAAUUAUUUUAGGAUGUCUACAACUUGUUGUAAAUAGAAGCCGAGCACGUUUAGAAGCCCAUUUGUCCACCUGAAACUUCUUUUUUUGCUGUUCAACAUGUUCGUCCAUGAGAAAUCUCUUGCUAUAAAAAUUAAGCCUCAUGGACAAUAGUAACCUCGCAUUCAACAGGAAGAAUGUGACAAAGCUUUUGUUUGCCUGGUUGGAUGCAUAUCGUCCCAUCGUUAUUGUCCUCAAACGAAUGUCAUGAGAACUAAGAAAAUCCUUGUGCUUAUUACGCCAACGAUUGGUUAUAUGUUUUUCUCCAUGUGGUUCUGCCUAAGUAGACAUGAAGAUUGAAAACAGUUAAGGUCUGAGAAAAGAGUAUGUCAAAAGAACGACAGCUGAACAGUUAAUUCUAGUACAAUAUAUACGGGCUUUCAAUGUGCAUGAAAUCAUCACCUCUAUGUAUAAACUCUCCAGAGAUUGAAAGCAUCGCAGCAAGCCAAUAAUUAUGUCCAGAUCAAAACUAUACAUUCUGAUAUAUAUGAUCUUGACAGAAUCCAGCAGCAUUGCUAGACUAUCAAUGGACGAACUCUUCAUUGAGCAUAUAACAUAAUAUUAGUACCCAAAGUGUACUCCAAGAUGAUAUAAAACUUAUGCGCACAAAUAAAAAAUGCAGCAUAUGAUUACAAAUGUGUAGAUAUAAUAUACGGUACCUGGAAAGGUGAGGAGCCAGACACCAACUCCUUGUGAUUAUUAAACGGGUCACGAAUUACACCCAAGGUCUCCAGUUUGGGCACAGAGACGACAGUUAUUUCUGAAGGUAUAUAACAAUUAUGAAGGAGCAACCUUUCAAGUGAAGGGACAUCUUCGAUGAUGAGCUGUUGUCCUUCAAAACAAAUUCCAAUGCUUUUAAGGUGAGGCGACUUUAUUUGGAGACAACUACUACCGAUUUGUAUUCCCAAAACAAUCAGCAAGCGCUCCAGGCAGGGCAAAUGGAGUGGAUGAUGCUGUGCAGUGAGGCCUCCGACAGAUACACCACCACAAGCGAGAGUUUUUUUAGCAGUGGGAGUCGAAGCAUUUGUACCAGAUCGUCUGGUAGAUGGCACCGGGCAAAGAUGGUGGUGUGGAGAGAGGAGGAAAACCGCGAGAUGGACAACGGGGGUGUGGGCACGAAUUCUUGGUAUGUUCGUGGUAUGAAACUUUCGUGGUAAUGGUAGAACUCAAACUGCUGGAGUUUUCCAAAUUCAGGGGAUGUCAGCCAAGCGUCCACCUUGCUGGCUGUGGACAGCAGGUAGCUUGUCGGGAUGCAGAGGCAUUGAAUGGGGCCCUUCUAGUGAGAAGAGACGAUGGCUCUGAUGAGAUCAAAUUCAGGAAGGACAGAUAUCUGACGACAAUCGAGAUUGAGGGGUGUGGUGCGCCAUAGAGGGCGCCACCGAGUUGAGAGGACUUGUGUGCGGCAGCAAUCCUUGGUGGGGAGAAGCGAGAUGAUCUCCUCAAGGAUGACGUGCGGGAGAUCGCUGAUGCGGUCCAUCGGAGAUUCUACCGGUUCCUCAUAUCCGGGUGGGGGGGGGGCUCGCCGCUUCUCCCCGCGCUACCGGGUGCGGGAUCUACAACCGGCGUCGCCGCUGGCGGGAGCCUCAUCUUCUUGGCGCUGGGGCCAGCCGACUCCAUUUUCCUUGUGGGCGUCGCGUCGAGCUCACGGGUUUGAGCAGAGUAGCCAGAGACGAGCCUGGUGGCAGUGCGAGUGGGGAAGAAGGAGGGCUGGGGAUUUCUGUAGGAGUGGAAGAAGAGGAGCAGGCGUUUUCUGUACGAGUGAGGAAGAAGGUGAGCGGGGUUUUCUGGACGAGUGAGGAAGAUUGGGGAGCGGGGGAAUUGGGUGGGGAGACGGAAGCGGGAGAGCGAGCUUUCGUGUUUAUAAGGCCCGCUACACUAACUACUCGCUUUUUCCCAAGAACCGCUCUCUUCUUUUGUGUUGCUGCAUGAUUGGCCAUGCAUGCUGGAUGCAUGUGCCCGCCGGCCACUACAUGCGCCUGGUUUGUUACUAGGCCUAUUUAAUAGGGUGGUUAUGGAAUAAAUUAAGGAGAUUUAUUUUCUCUGUGUGCAUCCACCAAAUUAGAGGAUGCGGUACUGGAUGCAGACACUCACAUUAAACUAACAUUUAGAAGAACAAAAGUUCAGCAUGUCUAUGCAUCUCAAUGAUUCACCAUACUAUAACCAAUAUACAAAACUGUGAGAAGGUGUGGAAAUAAAGAAAAUCGGUCGAUGCUUCUCUGAGCAAAGGGCCUCCCUGCGCACACAUUAAUUUCCUAGGCAUGCUUGUUUCUUCUCAAUGUUGCGAGCACUUUGAGCAUGUUGGCAACUCCACGGCUAGCUAGCUGCCUCAUCUUGCAAUUGAUGCUGACACAUUUGCAGCAAACACAUGAGGCAAUAGAGAUGACUCAACAUGGGUCCAUAUUGUGCAGUUCCCCUGAUAUCAUAUUCAUUGUCCCGAAUCUGAAAAGAUAGGAAAACAGUAGCUAUACUAAAAUGGUGUUGCAAAAUAGUAGCACAUAUCAAUAGCUCGGCAUGAGAAAACACGAUCAUCUGGACGAAGGGGAUACUGACCUGCCUGGGGAAGAUUACAUAUAAUUUCAUAAGUCCUUGGAUGAUUUCCACCUUCGGCUGCACUGCUUGUUUGCUCCUCCACACAUGACAGGAUCGUUCCGCACUGCAUUCAGCAAGUCAACGUACGAAUAAGCUAAUCUCAUCUUGCGGUGGUCAUUGUACCUAGUUACGAAUGUAGGAAUACCUGGAGCACCAUGAGGUUAGCUGACAGCAGGUAGAUGCAGCCAUAUAAAUUUUGUGCGGUGCUACCAAAAUUGAGGUUUGUAUCCCUUCCCGUUAUGAGAAUUCUUCUUGAAGUUGGUAGAAUGUGACGGGUUGUUCUUUACAUCAAACUUGCCUUUCCCCUGAGAUUUGUUCUUAUUGUUUUGGGGCUGGUUGGGCUGGAAGUUCUUCUCGUGUACCAUGUGGGCACUAGAAGCUCCCUCGGCGACCCGAGCACGUGUGUCUUUUGCUCCCGCCUUCUCCUCAAAAUCAAGAGUGCUAAUGAGAUCCAAAACAGAAAACUCAUGUCUCUUGUUUUUUAGAGAAGUAGCAAAAUCGUUCCAUGAAGGUGGAAGCUUGGCAAUGAUGGUCCCAACAACAAAUUUGUCCGGCAACACACACUUAAAGUACUCAAGUUCCUUAGAGAGUGACUAUAUCUCAUGAGUCUGCUGAACAACAGAGCGCUCAUCAGUCAUCUUAUAGUCACAGAAUUGCUCCAUGACGUACAACUCGUUGCUAGUGCCCGAGGGCCCAAACGUGGCCUUGAGUGCAGCCCACAUGUCUUUGCCACUGUCAAACAACAUAUACGAAUCCACAAUGGAAUCAUCAAGAACACUCAGUAGGGCGGCUUUGAAGAGGGUAUCCAUGUUCUGAAAAGCUUCCUGCUGUGUAGGAUUAAGAUCGCCCUCAGGCUUACCCUUAGUGGCGUCAUAGCAGUACAUGAUCUGAACCAAUAUAGUGCUCUUGUGCGCCACCUUUUAUAUUGCACCCCCUUAAAAGUAGGCGGCUUCAAAAGCGCAGCAAAACCACUCGGAGUAAAUUGCCUGUGAUCAGCUUUUUGGAUUGAAUCGUUGAAUAUAUGAGCAAUUUAGUAUGAGAUUUAAUCCGAAUCAGCAAUAAAUAGAUCAUGACGACAAUUGCAAACAUCAAAGUAAUGAUGCGGACUAAGCCAGGAGGACAGAAUCACAUACUAUACAGCGGGAGCAGAACCGAUGUGGUUGAUGUUGUCACUCAUGUCGUUGAUGAAGAGGUUACCGAGGUCGGGGAAGAAGGUUGUCGUUGAGGAAGUCGUCGCUAGCAGCAGUCACAUGAGUGUGCUCCCCAAAACCUGAUCGCCCCUCUCCCGUACAAGAUCACGAAAGGCGGGGUUCGGAGGACUGCUGUCCCUUCUCGCGGUGCACGCCGGAAGGAGGGCUGGAGAAGAAUUGUGUGGCGGCACUAAGAUCUGGAAGGUGCGAAACCAUAUGAUACAGCGGCGGCUAGGGUAGAGCAUGUCAGGUCGGAGUAUAAUAGUAGGCCUUUGGCCCCCAAACCCCAAGUCCAAGUCAAUAAUAGCUCAAAAAAAGUCAAUAAUAGCCCCACCAAGGUUUGUCUCAAAAAAAACCCGGAGUAAUUAAGGCAUCCGUUAGUCCCUUUAGUAUAAAUACAAUAUCAUUAAUAAUGGCCCCACCUUUUGUCUCACAAAGUAGAGUAUGUUGGAGUACAACCGGCUACACGUUUACAAUCCGCUUCUCUUCUCUCUCCUCUUCUCUCUCCUUCAACUAAGCACAAAUACUAUAUUUAAAUCCUUAUAGCCUGCUUAUGUAUCUAAUUAUAGUACUUGCUCUAAAAUUUAUUAUACACUGUGUAGUCUGAAAUGCCGGGUGUGCAGCGGGCGGUGCCCUCGAUCGGUGCACCGCUUCAAUGGCGGAAGCAGUGAGAGGUCGCGUCGCCCUGACUUGCCAUCAAUGUGGAGCGGCGGGCUCAGCUGGCGCCGGGCGGGAAGCGCGCGCGGGAGGGGGGAGGGUUUUUUGUUGGGCCAAGAAGGUGAGAAGCCAACUUGGGAUCGGUCCGGACGGGGAAAUAUCAUGUGCUCCCAUACUCUGCAUAUGACACUAGUCUAUGUUACUACUCCCUCCUUCCGGUUUAUAGAGAUGUUUAGAGUAACAUAGUAAUAUGUUACAGUACAAGUUACUCCCCACUAUGACCAGCCUUGGCCUCUCCCAGUGCUCCACCAUGUAUAGCUGCUAAGCCUACCACGUAGGCAUAAAAUAUGAUGUGGCACCAAUAAACUAAGCACCUAUGCAUUGAACACUUGAGUUACUAAGCCAUUUAAUGCACUUAGCACCUCAUCUAAAGAGCAUUAAUAGUAUAGCCAGCUGCUGGCUAUAAGCCUACAGCCCAUCUUAUAGUCAACAUGUACAAAGUGCCUAGGAGCACGUGCUAGAGCUGGCUCUUCAUGAAGAGCCCGCUUACCUUCUCUCUCCUCUUCUCUUUCCUCCAACUAAGCAGAAAUAUACUACUAUUUAUUCCUUAUAGCCCGCUGACUCAGCUCUAUUGUACUUUCUCUAAGCACAUGUAAGCACUUGCUAGCACCCCCUUGACCGUGGACCUUGACGGUGUACAUCACCUUGUGUCUCAUAAUUUUCCUCGUCAUCAUCUGAGUCCUAGAAGAUCUCACCCACAUCAUCAUUAGCAUGCAACCACCUUGAUAGACAACAUGCGCAAAAAGAGUAGAGGUGACUGGGGACGCACCACCACCACGUCGUGGGCACUCCGUAUGUGCUCAUGUGCGUGCAGCGUGCGUGUUUUUCCAUCGGUGCUAGCUCUAAGGCCGAGGCUGCAGUCGUCUUCGUCUCCGACUAGUUGUUAAGCAACGGCGGCAAAGAGGUGUUGCAAGAGAUGCGUAUGCGCUGUUGCGUGCGAGCUUCGCCGUAGCACGAUGAACCGGACGUCGCCGCGGAUGGCGCACGCCUCCAUGCAGUCGAGUGUGUGCGCAUGCAUGUGUUAUUCACGUGCAUUCUGCGGCCGAGCAUGUGUGCAUGCACGUCUUCUGUACGUGCAUUGUGUGCUCCAUGCUGUGCGCGUAUGUGCAUGAGUUGGAUCGGAUGGAGUUAGUGCGUUGGCUUGUGUACAUAUUUUCGAGUGUAGAUUCACUCAUUUUGUUUCGUAUGUAGUCCCUUAUUGAAAUAUCUAAAAAUACUUAUAUUUGGGAACGGAGGGAGUAUAAAACAUCUUCAACUUAGCAUCCUGAUGUACCGUUUCUAGAGGUUAGCGAAAAGUUCAUGUUCUUUUAGUUGUUUAUAGGUGGGCAAGCGGCAAAAAACAGGGGAAAACGCGCAAGGUUCCUUGUAGACGCUCCACUGCGAGGUUCCUUGCUCCUCCUCGGUCGUCGGGAAUCUAUGCUCUUCAACUCUUUUCUUU
This 49136-nucleotide long non-coding RNA is filed under the name Triticum aestivum (bread wheat). Its description in RNAcentral is "long non-coding RNA (TAES_LNC027844)". The stretch from base 11490 to 11624 matches the Rfam family "MIR1120/MIR1122 microRNA precursor family". The record is from RNAcentral. Lineage: Eukaryota; Viridiplantae; Streptophyta; Magnoliopsida; Poales; Poaceae.